GUUUUUUUCGUAUACAUGGGUACAACAACUAGGAAGCAAAAAAUCUCCUACAAACUUUACAGAUACAUAAGAGCCCUGAGAAUACAAUAUGGUAUUGUUCUAACGACUCUCUGACGCUAAAUAAAAUUUGAAGAGUCCACAAACUGAUACAUAAGAUUUACAAUAAUAAGGAUGAGUAGGUUAGUGUAAUAAACUUACACUAGCAGAGUACGUUAGUGUUGAUGUUUUUAGGACCGUGGUUGGUUGUUUUAGGAUAGUCCUUGACGGAUAGGUAUUGUCAUAGUCCGUAACUAUCUUACUUUGUUAUGUGUUAUUCCGCUUUGACAUCUUUAGCGAUAAGACAUGUACUGCCUCUACUGUUAUUAAUCACAAACGCAACAAGUAAAUCAUUAAAUAAUAUACACAAAUGUUUUACUAUUUUCUAUUGUCUCUUCGAUUUAUGCACACAUUACUCACAACUAAAAAAACUUGUCCAGUUUAUAUCACCAACCAAAACUUUGACUAGUUAGGGAAAGCUAUGAGAUAAAGAAAAACUUAAGGCAAAAGACUGAAAAUUUGAUUUAAUGUAUCAUAUAUGCAAACCCAUUUGCAUUCAUAUUCUUUAAAAAAAAAAUGUAUCAUGUAUAUAUCCAAAAUUUCUUGUAUUCAUAUUUUUACAAAAGGAAAAAGGGAGUUAAUUUUAUAUCCAUGCAAUAUGCGUGAAUAUAAUUCUCUAGUAUUGAGUGUAUGUAAUUAAUAGUCUUAAAGCAAAACAUUCUACAGCUCGCUGCUGUAACUAAGCAGGGCCAUCUCUUUAUUGACAUAAUAGUAUUAAUAGGUUUUUGACCUCUGGGUCUAAAUCUACGAGUCCGCAUUGGCGCUGUCGGAGCUUUUCUCUUCCGAGGAAUGGCUGACGGAGCUUUUGCCUGCGGAUUUUGAGUGUGUCUUUUGAUAGUUGGUAGAUUGAUAGCUAGCACUGCCGGCUUGUCCUCCCAUAGAUUGGCCUCCGAAAGUUCCACCUUCCAUCGAGCUUUCACUUGCACUUCCACUUGGGCCACCCGCAGAGGGACUACCGGUUGGACUUCCACCUGUAGAAUCUGUGUAGGUUCCUCCACUCGCGCCACCGGCAGUAGCACUCCCCCCACUAGCGCUUUCACUCGUGCCACCAGCAGCAGUGCUUCCACCACUAGAACUCUCACUCACGCCACCGGCAGCAGCGCUUCCACCACCCAUUGAACUCGUUUCGGUGCUAGUUCCACUACCGGCUUCAGUUGAGCCUCCGGCAGCGGCUCCACCAUUGGCCUCAGUCGAGCCACCGGAAGCAGCUCCAGCACUAGCACUUUCACUACCAGUUGAGCCACCAGAAGCAACUCCACUGCUAGUGCUUUCACCGCCGGUUUCAGCCGAGCCACCGGAAGCAGCUCCACCACUAGCACUCUCACCACCGGAUGCAGCUCCACCACUAGCGCUUUCAUCACUGGUUUCAGCUGAGCCACCGGAAGUAGCUCCAGUGCUUUCACCACCACUUUCAACCGAGCCACUGGAAGCAGCUCCACCACUAGCACUUUCUCCACCGGAUGCAGCUCCACCACUAGCGCUUUCACCACCGGUUUCAGCUGAGCCACCGGUUUCAGGUGAGCCACCGGAUGUAGCUCCACCACUAGCGCUUUCACCACCGGAUGCAGCUCCACCACUACCGCUUUCACCACCAGUUUCAGCCGAACCACCGGAAGCAGCUCCAGCACUAGCACUUUCACCACCAGUUUCAGCUGAACCACCAGAAGCAGCUUCACCACUUUCACCACCGGUUUUAGCUGAGGCACCGGAAGCAGCUCCAGCACCAGAAGCAGCUCCACCACUAGCACUUUCACCACCGGUUUCAGCCGAACCACCAGAAGUGUCAGCGGCAGCAGCUCCACCACUAGCGGUUUCACCAGCAGCAGCACCUCCACUAUCGGCACUAGCAGCACCUCCACUAUCGGCACCAGCAGCACCUCCACUAUCGGCACCAGCAGCAUCUCCACUAUCGGCAGUUGCUGCACUUCCACUCUCCCCAGCUGCUCCAGCAGAAGAGGAAUCACCACCCAUUGAACUUUCUCCUCCGGCAGAACCAUCAGUUGUACUUCCACUAGGGCCACCAGCAGUGCUUCCACUACCAUCAUCACUUGGAUAUGAUGGACUACCUGCCGAACUUCCACUAUCACCAGUGGUGUCUCCAUAGCUUCCACCGUCCGUAGGACUCCCAGUGUCGGCGGAGGGAGAACCGCUGUCAGAGCCUGGACUUCCACUAUCACCACUGCUUCCAAGGCCAGAGCUUCCACCUCCAAGAAGUGAUGACAGAUCAAUCUUUGCGCCGUCACCAUUCUGAUCGCCAACUUUUUUCACAAAUUGACCAAUCACUUGUGCCCAUUUUGCCAUAGAUGUAACUAACUCUCUUCUUUGUUCACUUGUCAUCAUUGUUGCACCGCUCCUCUUAAAUUCAGCAAAUGUUUUCCCCAUUGACAUCAAACUCUCGAUCAAUUUGCUCGUAUCAGCCUAUCACAUAACCAAGAAUAAUUAAACAUACAAAAAAUGUAAUGCUCAAACAAUUGGGUUCGGUUAGUAACACAAAACAAUAUAAUUUUUAAGCAGUAAAUGAUUCAUAAAUAACUUAAAAAUCGUAAGAUGUAGCCAUAUAAGAUAACAAUAUCAAAAAGCUGAGAGUAAUCUUCUAAUACUCAUGUGAACAAUAAUAAAAUAUGAAAUUUACCGAUGAUCCUCCUUUGACACCCAAUGCAGAGAUAGCCUUGAAGAGGCCCUCAGCUUGUUGUUUCAUUUGAGACUGGAACUCUGAAGACGACCCUUUUGCCGUGUUUAUGAAGGACAUGAAAGCUUUCAGCUUUGAGAAGAAAUCCUUGUACUCUCCUUUUUCCGGAGCCAUAUUCUCAAGGUUAUCCACAAAACUAAGCAUACCUUUGUAAGCAAAAGGCUCAAAGUCUUGGGAAUUUUUAGGAAAUUUAUUCAUGUAAUGCCUUAAUAAGAAUACACCUUGCGCUUCAUAUAUGGUACUUGAUGCUACUAGUAUUAACAUUAGACAUAUUGCUAUAGGAAAUCUAGCCAUUGUUUUGUCAGAUAUGUAAAAGAAAGAUUUGAAGGAUUUUUUUAUUUUUUGUUUUUUAAAUUUCUAUUAUUAUUUUUGGGUUUUUGAAUGAUUUUUUUUAAUGAGAGGAUUUGGCUUAUAUAGAUGCUGAAAAUUUCUAAAUUUGAGUAAGAGAAAUUGGUGGAUCCAUUUAAGGUCGCGAGAGAAUAGCCAAAGAGAGACUAAUGGUUCUCAUGUCCCAUAACCGAUUUCGACGGUGAAUUGUGUUGCUCUUAUGGUUUAUAUCAUUCUAUAUUUAGAGAAUAAAUUACUUGUAAGUUGUAAUAUUAAUGUACUAUGCACGCAAUUUAUGUUUUGUAGAAAUGUUAGAAUCUUUUGAAUGCUUAUUACAUUCCGGUUUAUGCAUUACUUGAUUUUAUAAUUUUCAUUAGUUGAUUAAGUUUCAAAUUUAAGAUUAAAUAAUGACACAUGUCGAUGUUGUAAUCUUAUUAAUUAUUUCAUGUGUCACUCUCUAAAAGUUUUGUUGAAAUUAUAUAUUUGUAACUAGUAUAUGUAAGGCUCAUACUAAUUUAAGUUGAACUUUACUUACAAAUUACACAAUUAGUUUCUAGUCUUCCAAUGUAUAACAUGGUUUAUAUCCCAACAUAUAUAGGGUUCGAACAAUUUUGUUGUUAUUACGCAGGCAUUCAAAGUUUUUUGGAAUCAUUGAACCGCCUUGAAUAGGAGGUCAAUAUCACAGAAUAUGGAGAUUGGAGAGUUAGAUAAAGUGUGGGAUACGGGUUUUGCUCUCUAUGACUAAUUCGACCCAAACAAAGAUUGAUUAAGUCAAACAAGCAGCGAAUAUGAAAAAACGAUCCAUUAGAACAACAGCCCAUCAAGCAUGCUAGCUCGGUCCAAUGCGCUUCUGCACAAUAAAAUAAAUUUGGAAGAGUAAAAUCGAAAAACCACAAGAGAGACAAAAGGAACUCUAUGUCAGCUCUUAGCUUAUAAAUAGCACAAGACAUUGUUGGCAACAAUAUCUGGACUUGAAGUCAUUACCUAGCAAAUUUAAGAGAGAAUUGUUGCCUACCUCGUUUUAUUUCUUACUUUUCUGUUUUUCAUUCAAUAUGUCGGUUUUAUGUUCUGUACGUUAUUGUUCUCGUUCAUCAUUAAUAAAAAAAGUUGUUUCCUUCUCCCCAAAAACUUUUUAGUUAUUUAUGUUACAACUUUGGUAAAAACAUAAAGCGAAACUUUUGUGGGAAAGAUAAAGAGAGUGUGAAUGUAACAUGUACCUAAUGUUUUGCUAUAUACUUUAUAAAAGAAUAUUUCAUGAUUUAGAGGGUCUUUUAAAAUAUAUAUAUAUAUAUAUAUAUAUAUAUAUAUUUAUAUAUUAAUAAUAUCAUGUUUUUAGUAAAUAUAAAUUUAUUUAAUCUACUUUUAUAUGUAAUAUCUUUUAAUAUUAGUUAGAUUGUAUAAUAAAGAAAAUUUGUGACGACAAUGUGGGAUCAAUUUCUCCAAACUAGUUAAGAGGGUGAGUGACCAUAAGAAUAAACUCGUUUUACUUAAGCCCUGACACGAAAGAGUACAAGACUCCUAAGGGCGGAUUUUUAUCUAUUCUGCCAUCAUCAGCAAAAAAAAAAUUCUAUUUUGCCACUUUGAAAAUUGAAUUUCGUUUUGAUUUUUUUUUAAAUAGAAAAGUAGAGGGAUUUUACAAAAUAACCUUGUUAUUUUAAGAAAAUUACAUGACCCAACCACAUAUCCACAGAUCCGAUCCAUUGUCAUUGGGUUUUCCCCCAAAUCGUUUUCUUCUAACCUAAAUAAUUUUUAAAAAAAAUCAAAAUUGUCGCUUUCUUCUCCGAUUAACCUAAACGGCGAUUUUUCCGGCGAUUCUCGAAAAUUUCCGUCGCUUCUUUCCGCGAUCAGUUCACCGUCACCAGUUUCAUCUUUGCUUCUUCACCAAACAAUUUCUUGAAAACUUUUAACCUAAGUAAAAUUUUACCAAAUCAAAACUGUUGACAUCCACUUUGUUUGUUCCGUCUCCGGCGAUUCCAAAAUCAUCAAAACCGAAUUUCGCGGCCGGUCAAUAUACAUAAUUUAAAAUACAAUACUGGGCUAAGUUGUUCCAGUUGGCCGGUCAAUACACAUAAUUUAAAAUACAAUACUGGGCUAAGUUGUCCCAGUUGGCCGGUCAAUACACAUAAUUUAAAAUAUAAUACUAGCUAAGUUGUCCCAGUUGGCCGUUCAAUACACCUAAUUUAAAAUAGGAAAAUACAUGUCUAAUUAGGUUCAAAUAUUACAUAAAAUCCAGAAACAUAACAUAAUGCCAUAGACCAUCCUCAAUAACAUAAAACACAUCAUAUGAUUACCAUGUAGAAAGUAAUGCCCUAAGCCUAUCAAUCUCGACUUCUUUGGGCAGUAACCUUUCUUUAAGGGUUUCAAUUUCGCCUUGCAUAAGAUGAACAGUUUCCCGGAUAGACUCCAAAGCAUGAUUACAUGCUAGUUGUCCUUGUCUUAGUGCAGAAUCAAGUGAGUGAUUUACCUUCUCAAGCUCCUCAGUUACCGCCUGAUCCCACCACUGAAUAAGGUGGUUUCGGGACUCGUACUCUUCAUCCUGCGAAAGAGAGAAGACUUCAUAAAUAUAGGCACUUGUACUUUGUUGUUCCAAUGAAAUGAAACACAAUACCUUACUUUAAGCAUUAGGCAUUUGUACACUCUUUCGCCUUGCUUGUAACCAGUUUUGCACACUUGAAGUGUUACAGGCUUACCACAAAAACAUUUGACUGGAACACCCCAAUUUGCAUCGGCACUCGCCUCUCCACUAUUUCAACUAGCUUCGGAUGUGGAUGGUUGAGAGUAACUAUAGGGCAUCUAUAGAACAGAGAAAGAUAGACAUAUGUUACAUCGAAAUUACGGAGAAUCCCUAGAUCUACAUCGGCAUUCACACUACCCUAGAUCUACAUCUAUCUCAUAGAACCCUAGAUCUACUUCGAAAUUACGGCGGCUAGAAACCCUUUAUCAUACCUUGUUAGUAGUUGUCGUCAGCGGGGGCUGGAAACCCCUAAUUUCAGUUGUUGUCGUCGGUGAUGUUGAGAAAGAGAGAAGAACGAGAGAGAGAGAAAGUGAAAGUGAGAGAAGAGUGAAAUAGAAGAGAGAGAGAGAAAGAGAGAUGAAAUCCCGAAUAAAUAGGGAGAAACUAUGUAGUGUGAACACAAUAAUCGUAGUGUGAACGCAAGUCGUGGGGUCUAUUUUUUAAAAAUAUUAUUUAUUAGAAUAUGCAGAAUAUACAUAGUUGUAUGUAUAUGUACAGUUGGCCGGAUUCACAAACAGUUGAACUAUUCUAAAUUUUAUGUUUUUGAAGUUGAACCUCAAAAACCAAUUCAUUUUUUUAGUUGGUCCCAUAAGUUUUAACAUAUUAAUGACUUUUAAUAAGUUUUGAUAGAAACAUAUUUAAGAAAUAUCUAUUUUCAUACAUAAUGUAUGUACAUUGGACAAUCAUGAACUAAAUGUUCCUUGUUAUACAUAGGUGAUUUAUUAGGAAACCUUAAAGUUUAAUAAUAACAAUGUUGUAAUAUCAUAUUUUAGAUUUAUUCAAUGUUUAGUUCUUGUUAAUAGCUGAAAAUAAUGAGAAUUAUUUAUUAAUUUUGUUAACCCUAAAAUACAGAUACAUAUAUCAGUUGUCUCAGUUGAACUUAAAAAAAUACAUUAAACUUGCAAGAAUUCAAUAAACUUGCACAUAUUCAAUACAAAUACGAAAACAUAAAAAAGAGUUGUCGAAGUUUAAAAUAGUACAUCAUACUUGCAAAUAAUAUAAUACAAAUACAAGUGAACUCAGUUGUAUUGGUUGAACCCUUUCUGCAGUUGGCCAGGUUGUUCCAGUUGAACCCUUUCUGUAGAAGACUUAAUCAAACUUCUUCAGGCUGCAGCCAAGCCUCCACUGUUUGUAACUCAAUUUCACCUUCCUUGAGGUUUCAUCUAUUCCAAUCUUCUUGCAUAUCUUUUCUACUAACAUAGAGUAUGUUACCUUUGACGUCCUCAACAAUACACCGCUUAAAGAAUUGUUUGAAAUCUACUCAUGCUCUUCUGAAUAAUACUCAUUGUCGAAUUGUAUGAAUGUGUGCUUGUUCUUCAUCGUCUCCUGUAACUACAAAUAAAUUAUUAAAACACAGUUACGUAAUCAUUCAGAUUUAGACAUAAUUCACUAAUACCGUUUGUACCACAUGUCCUAUUGUUUGUACCCCUUGUACUAUUAUGUCUCAUUGUUACCAUUUGUCCCAGUUCGUCAAUUCUGGGUUUUACAAAUCGUUAAUUUCGAUUGAACACUUACUGAACUCUCUGAUUCAAAACGAUACAACAGCCCAGAAUCAACAAUACAACAAUUUUAUGUUAUUAACAACUAACUCGAACAAAAAAUUCACAUUAAUCUACAAAUCAAAAGGAGAUCAGAUUUACUUUUGCUGGUGAGGAGGAAGCUAAUUUUGGGAGCAGAUUUUCAUCUUGGAAGCUACGAAGACCUCGAAAACUAACUCGUCGGUGAAAUCAGAGCUCAAGUCGCCGCCGAAAUCGGAGCUCAAGUCGCCGGCGAAAUCGGAGCUUUAGUGGUCGGAGGUCCGUAUAAACACGAUGCAGAAAUGAAAUGGAAUUAACUGUUUUCUUUUUUUCUUUUUUUACUAAUUCUUCUCAGUUAUUCAUUAAGGACAGAGGGGUAAUUGCACACCAAAGAGUGGUACUCAGAAUAAAAAGUGGUACGUCAGAAUUGUUUUUCAAAAAUGAUGGCAGAAUAGAACGUGGCUCCCUAAGAGCAUCAUUAUUGAUGGUAUUUUAGCCAAAUCUUAGGCUAAAAUUUGUGAAGAAAGAGCUUUUAUAUAAGAACUUUUAGACUUAUAUAACAGCUUUUUUCACAAAUCUUAGCCUAAAAUUUUGCUAAUAUAUUUUAUAUAGGAUUUUUUGUGGACACAAUUCACUACACUAACGAAAUUAUAGGACUUAUUUCUUGGAAGAGGAAAAAUAUUCAAAAUCCCUUUAAUGGGUCUUACACUUCUGUAUAUUAACAUACAGAGUGCUUAGUCUAUCUUUAUUUUUUACAUAGUUUUUUUAACUUGCUUACGUCGGUUUAUAGGUAUACCGAUCUUAGUUUUAUUUAAAACCAAAAACAAAAUCUCUACUUAGCUACUAAAUAUAAUAUUUUUGGGCGGUACUAGUUUGUCUUUCUUGCUGGUUUAUGGCUCAUUGAUGUAGCUUUGGCUUUGUACUCAGUUUUUCAUGGCCAUCUUUGCACUUCCCUGAGAGGAAGAAGAAGACGAAGAUGAAGAUGAAGAUGAAGAUGAACUUGAAGAAGCAGCCGUCUCAACGAAUUGGGUUGUGACUUGUUCCCACUUGGUGAUUGUCUGCUUAAGCUCUGUCUGUUGUGUUGAUGUCACUGUCUUGCCACUCACGAUUUGACUGUUGAUGUCUUGUAGUUCCUUGAGACUCUGCAUCACUUCUUGUUGGCAAGAUGCCAUGGAGGUCUUGGUCUAUAUUAACAAAACAAGAAAACAAAGAUCAUUUUGUUUCAAUCUUUAAAAGAAUCAUAAUAUUAGAGUUUGAAGUAUGGUUUCGUUUUACGCGUACCUCUUCGGAUUUGCUAAACCUUGAACUCACGAACAUCAUUGCCUCAGCUAUUUUUGAAGCAGCAGAUCUCAUCCCGGUGACCAAUUCUUUUGCGUUUGAGGUAGAUAGCUUUGCGGAAGCAGACAUGGAAGUCUUUAGCUUUUCAAAGAAGACCUUGAGCUCUGAAUUUCCAGUGUACUUCUUCUCCAAGUUAGAAAUGAAAGAAUUGACUUCUGAGGAAGUUUGUGUCUCAACUUCUUUUACUGAUGUGGUGGAUGAGCUACUAGAUGAACUUUUGCUGUUGGACUCUUUCUUUUGAGAAGCAGCACUUUCUUCAGCACUUGCACUAGCACCAGCACUUGCACUUGCACUUGCUCCAGCACUUGCACUUGCACUUCCUUUCGAAGAGGCUUUACCAUCAGUAGAAGUUGAGGGAGUAGGGCUGCCACUGGGACUUCCGCUCGGACUUCCCGAAGAUGUACCGGUAGUGUCUUUGUAAGUGUCUCCAGAGCUUCCUUUGUUGGUUUCUUUUGUCUUGGAAACACUUCCGCUAGCAGCACUUUCACUUUCACUCUUAGAAUUAGAUUCUUUUUUCAUCGAAGCACUCUCACUUCCUUUCUCAGAGGUUUUGCCAGCAGCAGGAGUUGAAGGGGCUGGCGUAGAAGGGGUAGGUGUAGAAGGAGUGGGCGUAGAAGGAGUGGGUGUAGAAGGAGUGGGUGUAGAAGGAGUAGGUGUAGAAGGGGUGGGCGUGGGGCUUCCACUUGGACUGGCGCCUGAAGAUGAACCAGUAGUGUCUUUGUAAGUGUUACCAGAACUUCCACCGCUGACUUCUUUUGUCUUGGCUGAAGAAGAACUUUUGCUACCAGCCUCAGUUUUUGAUCCGGUGUUAGUUUCGAUGCUUCCAGCCGUUGAUUCACUUCCGGAUUUGCUGGACGUGCCUUGUGAUUUGGUGUUUGAGGAACUCUCAUUAUCGGAUGAAGAGGAGCCAUCACUUCCACUAGAACUUCCAAUGCUGGCAUUAACAUCAACAUCAAGACCGUAAGACGAUUCAUCAAUCGACUUUCCUCUCUUCUCGGCGACACUCUUUACGAAUGUUAUAACCAUUCGAGUCCAUUUCACCAUAGCCACAACCAACUCUUUCUUUUGCUUCAAUGACAUCAUCCUUGAACCUUGCCUCUUCUGCUCAACCAAAGUCUUUCCCAUUGACAACAUGGUCAUUUUUAACUCCGACUGUCGUGUAAAACAAGGAACAUUUAGGUUUAGAAAACACAACAAAUGUUUUUUUUAUAUCUUAUGAAUGUUUUGGUAUUAGACUUACUGAUUGGCUGCUUUUGCUUCCAGUCAAUGCAGACAUAGCCUUGGAAAGCAAUUCACAUCUCCCAUUCAUCUCCACAUCGAUGUUUUUCGAUGCGGAUAUCGAUGCUGAGCUGAUAAAGCUCAUGUAAGACUUGAACGUUGAAAAGAAUUGUUUGAACUCUCUAGUUGCGGGACAUCCACCUUCAAGGUUGCUCACGAGCAUCAACAUACCUUUGCCAGCAUAAGGGGCAAAGUCGAUACAACGUCUGGGAAACUUCCUCCUCAAGUAAAGCUUUAACAAGAAAGUCCCUUGCACUUCAUAAACCACACUUGAUGCAACCAUAAACACCAGACAUAUUGCUAGUAAAUUUUUCGCCAUUUUUUUUAUAUAUAAGAAAAGUUAAAUAGAACAGAGCAAGACAAUUAUUUUUUUUUCUUUUUUUUUCUUUUUUAUAUAUAUUUUUGUCUUUUUUUUUGAUUUUGGAAUGAUUUUUGUUUCUAGGAGAAACUGGGUUUAUAUAGAUGCUUAAGAAGUCUAUUUUUAAGUUAGUGCGAGUAAAUAGUGGAUUGAUUUAAGGUCACGAGAGAAUAGCAUAAUAAGAGGUUCACAUUUUAAUUUACUUUCUAUUUUUACGGCAAUUUAUGUUGCUGUGCGCAAUUCUCUUCAAUCUAUAUUUAGAAGGAUCAAAUUAUUGACACUGAUUAAUUCGAACCCUUGACUACUUCAUCACACUAAAAAAUGUGAUAUAAUUACAUUUCUGACUUUAAAUUAUUGGUGUAGAUGCUACUGGCAUGUAACUUGAAUUGCCAUGUAAUGUAAAAAUAUUCAAACGGAAGACCUUGACAAAUUUCAUCUAUUCAUAUUCUGAAUAUCCAAAUUAUGUGUAAUUUUUGUUUAUUAUGUCUCUCAUUAAUUACAAACUAUUGUAGUAAUUAGAAAAGAAAUUUUUACAUUAGCGGAUGAAAAAAAAAUUGCUCUCAUGGUUUGUCAAAGUGAGAUAUGGUUUUCCGUUUGUCUUUUCAAUCGUUUUUAGACCAAAAUACUUUUAAUGAGAGCAACCAAACCGCACAGCAGUUGGUUUUGGUUUAGUUUUGUAAAAAAAAAAAAAAAAAAAACUGAAACGAAGAAACCGAAGAAGAAGAAAAAGAGAAAGAGACAGAGAUAUUUGAGAAAGAAGUGAAAAGAAGUUCAAAAUUCAUUAUCCACUCCUUCAUAUUUCAACAUCUCUCCAUUGAACUCCAAAAUUGAAGAACAAAUUUCUUAUUUUCACAGAUGAACAAAAUGCAAAAAAAAAAAAAACUCAUAAAUUCAAUCACUUUAGCUUUUUAAACUAAUAAUAUUCUAGGUUUACAAGAUUUAUUUAUAAAUAGUCAUCAAAACGUAAAAAGAAUGAGAUUUUGAGAAAACUACUAAAGACGGCCGCAAAAUUAGGUUUGCAGAAAAGAAUACACAAGUUGAAGAUGACUGGAAAAUUACAAUUAUACCCUUCAACAAAAAAAUUCUAUGUACGUAUAUUCAAUUUACAGUGUACGUACACGAAAUUAUUUAUUGGAACGUAUAUAGUACGAUUUCUAAUAAGUCAAACUAUUUUUGUACGUAGUCUUAUAUCUCAAUAAUCUCCAUACAUACAUAAUAAUUAAAUAAAAAUAGAUGGUGAAAUAAUGUUUGUUCCUCAUAUUGAAAAGUUAUGUACGUUUAUGUGUAAUAAUGUACGUACAUUUUUGUUGGUAAAUUAAUGUAUGUACAUGUGUAAUAAUAUACGUACAUCUUUGUUUUUGAAUUAAAUUAUUAAGAAAAAAUUAUUGAUACAAUAUUAAACCAAUAUUAGCAGUGGCUGAGAUAUAUUCUAAGACGUUUAUACGAUGUGAUUUUGAAACAUUCUGAAUUCUUGACGACUUGAGCAGUCAAAUGUCAUGGACAAGUAUCAUCAACGCAUACCAUCUCCAAUCUUAUAGGACAUGAUCUAGGUUGCUUGUAGCAAAAAGAUUGUUUGAUUGCGAGAUAAGACAUUGUUUGUUGUAUGACUUUUCUGUUCUUAAAAACACUUUCCAAUCUAUAGUGUACGUACAUUGGUACAAACCAUGUUGACACAUACUUCUUGGAGUCACAGCUGGUGUACGGUCACCCAAGUGAAAAAAGUUAUCUCCGUCAGGUACACGCUGACUUGUGUACGUACACUCUGCCAACAGACGACUGAAUUCCCCUAGAUGUUGAACAGUCAGUUGUGUGAGAAUGACGUUCUCCUCAACAUUCCCUAUUUCAUAUUCUUCUACAGUUACAUCGUUCCACUUAUUGUAAUCAUAAUCUUCGCCACUACUUUCACUACCAUCAAUAGUAGGAUCGAGGGUACUUCCCUCCAUAGAUCCAUCGUCACCCUGAUAAUCAUCAUACCCAUCACUAUCUUCGUUGUUCCCCUCCUUUUCAUCCUCAUCUGUUUUAUCGUCUUCAACGUCGUCUUGCUCAUCUACGGCCUCAUUAUUUUCAUCAACAUUUGAAACAUUAUCACACACACGGUCACUUUCAGCAUCGUCACCAUGAGUCCUAGAGAUAUCAUUCCCGAGUGUCUUGACGGUUGUAAUGAAAAAGACAAACAAGUUGAGAGAAGGAUACCGACCACGAAUCAAAAAGAACGUAUCCAACCCCACUUGACUGUCAAUGUAGAUAGGAGGGCGUUUAGUAUCUAUAAUCACUAACAUCUUUCCCGACAUCGAGUAACUAAUUAUGUGAUUGAUCUCUGUGUACUUCAGACUGAAAGCCUCGCUUAGUGUACGUACAAAUUUUGUGUACGUCAUGUUUUCCUUAACACGUACACAACGACCAAACAUGUCUUCUUUUGGUUCAAAUUUCCAUUCUUCUUCUUUGCAUCUCCACUCUCCGACCAUAGUAAAUACGUGAAUAUCCAUUACCCAACUGCAUCAUAAAUUCAGGAGAAACUCAUUAAAUGCAACAUAAAACAUGAUUAUAUCUACAAAAACAAAUAGAAUUUUGAUAUACACACUUAUAAACAUAUAUAUUUACACAUUUAGCAUUUUCAACCAACAAAAUUGGAAAUAAUAAAUUUUGGGGGUUUUCUAUAGAAAACAAAGUUGAUUUCGAACACAAUGAAGAUCUAGUGUGUUAUAACAAGAAAAAUCUUUAAACUUCAGUACUUACACGAUAAUGUUUAUCUUGGCUCCAAACUUCUAAAUAAACAAGAUCAACACUUCUUGAGCAUCAAUGUACGUUCGCAAUUAAUGUUUGUUCCUGAGUUCAUCUUUAACUCAACACUUAUUAUAAAUAAUUUUAUAAUAUUAUAACAUGUAAUGAUGAUUUUGCAUUAAUUAUGACAAGAGUCACGUCUAAACUUUUUGGGCCAUUAAAUGUUGAUGUCACUUCGUUUUUAAUGGUAAAAAUCUCCCUUCUAACUGUAUAGCCGCGCUUCUCAACGUGAAACAAAAAUAUCUCCAACUAAACCGGAACAGUUUACCUAACUAAACCUGACUAACUAAACCAUAUAUUCAACAGUUUCUCAACUGUAGCAGCAAGGGCAAAAGAUUCAAAUUUCAGUUAAAAAGACAAAACGUGAAAACCACUUUUGACUUUACCAAUCCCUAAAAAUAAAAUAUAGUCAAAAGGUGUGGCCGCAAAUUACCCUAACUAGAAUUACUGAAGAGUGGAGAGUAUCCGUGCUAUGUGCUGAUUAUUCAUAUAUUUUCUGACAUCAAUUUUUGGCUACAUUAUAUUUUAUAUUGGUUUUCACAUUAUAUUAAAGAAAAUGUAAAUUAUAGAUCUAUUCAUUUGUGAAACAACGAUUUCAUGAUAAUACAAUUUUUAUUUAUUUAUAUGUAAUUGAUAGUAAAUCAAAUAUAUAAAGGCUGGAGUUGUUAUGUAUCGUAAAAGAUGAUCAGCGAAACAUUUCAUAAAUAGGCAAAAGAUAAUUAUUGAUUUGGUAUUUUGUGAAUAAUAAUAGAUGAUGUUCGGUGCUAUGUAAGGAAACCCAUUUUUUUAAGAAUAUUAAAUCAAUUACGAUAUUUUUAUUUUAUAGUUAGAUACUGGUAAUGAUAUCAAACAUGUUAGUUUAAAUUUUAUUGGUAGGCAUAUAGUAGAUAUUUGAAAUUUUAAAUAACAUUAUAUUAUGUAAAUUUUAGUUUUUACAUAUUAUACUAGAUUUUAACCUGCGGAACGAUUUAUUUUUUAAAAGUAAUAUAUAUUAAUACUUGCAAAUUUUAUUUUUAUAAAAUAUUUAUAUCUUACAGUUUAUAAUUGUUAUUAAGUAACGCUAUAUCACGAAUCCAAAAGACAAUUGUUUAAAAACUGAAGUUUUAACCCCUAUUAAAACAGCAUAUUAAUAAUAUUUUAAAAUUUUAUAAACAUUGAUUCAAAUACAUCCACCAUAUAACCCAAUUCCAAAAUAAAAUCCGUUCUGUAAUUUCUUUACCUGUCCCGUAAAUUUUUUUUAAAGUAGUAAUUUUUAAAUUUAAGAAUUAUUUUAUAUAUAUAUAUAUAUAAUUUUUGCAAAUUAUAUAAUUCUCUAAUACAUUUAUAUUUUAUAGUUUAAUUUUAUAUAUGGUAACAUUAUACAUACCACAUAACAUUUUUGUUUUUUUAUAAUCUUUUCUAAAUUAGGAUGAUUUGAUAUGUUUAAUAUUAGUGGUCUUAAAAAAUAAUAAAUUAAAGAUUUAACCUGUAUUGAAACGGUGGAUUAAUUAUAUUUUACUUUUUUAUUAAUGUUGAUUCAAAAACCCGUCCCACCAAAUCCGUCUUGCCAAAAAGCCAUUUAUUUUAUUAAUUUUAAUUUUAUUAAUGAUAUGACUCUGAAUUAUCAUCUAAACAUUUUAGCUAAUAACAUAGGAGUGCACUAUAUUUAUUUAAUAGGGAAUGUACCAUAUGAUCCGAAUGCAUUUUUACCCAAAUCCACCAAAAAAGUCUUGCAAAAAUACUAUAGAUAUAAGAAACGAUAGUCGGUUUUGAUAGGUAUAAGAUUAGCAAAUAUAUUAGUUAGCUUAAAUUAGUUAAAGAUUACAAAUUGAAAAGGUAUAUUACACUCUAUUCGAAUAUAGUAUCAAAACUUAUAUAACACAGAGAUUUGAUAAUUUUUUAAUUGUUGAAUACUUUUUUUUUGUGCUAAUUUUUAUGUGAUUAAGAUUUAAUUGAGUUCGUAUAUAAAAUAUUAAAUUGUUUUACGAACUUAUUUGUUUAUAAUUUGGUAACAGAUAGAUAUUCGAAUAUUCAGUAUAUUUUGCUUCAGUUUAGGAAAUCUUUGAUGACCUGUCUUUAGAUCCAAUAAGCCCUAUAAUCUAGAUAUUAACCUGCAGUAUACCGCAGGUAGGCUUAUAUUUUACUUAAACUAAAAACUUUUAUUGGAAAGAUGAUUUAAAAAUAUAUGAUAUUAUUUUAUUUGAUUUUAAAUGUAUAGUAAACUGUGAGUUGUAUAUGUUUUGUUGAUAUUAUCCAUAUUGUUUAGUGUUUAAGAUUAUACACUUGUAGUUUGAUUGUUAAUUUAAGAGUUUCACCUGUAGUAUACCAUCUUGUAUUAAUAUCGAUAUAAACCCGUCAAUUCUAGGAUUUUCCAGCUUGUAUUAAAAAUUGAAUCACAUCAUAAACAUAAAAAAAAUCUAAUAUGUUAUUAAUUAUUGUAGUAUAUAAGAUUAUAAAUUUUCAAUAUAAUAUGUAUGAAAUUGAAUAUAAAUAUUUCAAAUUAUGACCCGUUACUCAGUAGAAAGUUUUCUUAAAUCUAUUUUUCACGCGUUAAAAAUAUUUUUUCAUGUAUUGAACAGUUUAUAUUCGUUUUUAAAAAUUCAAAUUAUGGCAUAUGCAAAAAAACUCUAAUUCUCUUUUUAUAAUAAUGAUAUUAUUUUUUCGCAAAAAUAGAAUCAUAUAAAGAUGAGAAGUGAACUAUAAUAAUAAAUAAAAAAUUAAUAUGAUAAUUUAGAUAUCAAAUCUAAUUUGUUGAUUUUAAUUGGUUACUUUUUUGGAAAUUAAUAUUGUAUUUUGUUUUUCUAAUUAAAUUAAAUUAAUUAAAAUUUAUAUAUCAAAUCUUAUAUGUUGAUUUUUAUUGGUUAUUAUGUUUGGAAAUUAAUAAUGUAUUUUCGUUUCUUAAUUAAAUUUAAUUAAUUAAAUUAGUAUUUGACUUUUUAAUCCUUAAAGAGAUAAAUUAAUUACUCUUUAAAAUUUUAUUUCUAAUGGCAUACCUAUGUAAUUACUUACACAAAUUAAUGUUACAUUUAAAAUGUACUUCCCAAAUAAUAUAGUAGGAUAAAAAUUUAAUUUUCAAAUGAUAUUCUUUACAAAAAGAUUAUCUAAAACUAAAAAUGAAAACAUCAUUUUUUAUUUUGUAGCGAGGUGGAGACGUCGGUAUACAGGGCAGUUGCAAGGCUAAAGUCUGUAAAGCAUGGACUUUAUGCAGCAAAUGAGUAAAAAGAAAUUAGAGUGGUUAACACUUUCACUCUCUCAAUAGAACUGUCAAGUUUGAACCUUCUGAAUGUACAUUGUAUUUAUUUUAUAUUUACUGUAUUUAAUAAAGGGCCAAAUUUUAUUUUAUUUUGCUUUAAGCAGUAUUUUAUCUUGGAUGGACCCUGUUGGUAUGGUUCCUGGUAGAUUUUCCUUCUUGUCUCUUGCAUCCUCUCUUGGUCCAAAUACCUUUUAGGAACUCGAUUCUUCAUUUUUUUAUUUUUUUUUAAUACCAGGAGGUUCUAAGCCAAAAUCCGUAAUUCUCCUAGGUGCGAAACCGCAACAUGUAAUAUUAGUUUCGUCUCAAGCGUCACUCGAACCGACGACCUCUAAGCUUCGCAUGGGAUCUUUACUAAUUGAGCUAACGACACUAAUAUUACGUAAAGUGAAUGAAACCUAAAAAAUGCAAUGCAACAAUAUACACUAAAUAUGAUUAUAAAGUGAAUGAAAACAGUGAAAAAUAUUAACAUAAUGCCUUUAAACCACCCAAAAAACACAAGAUAUCUGUGUUCAACUAAAAUCUUAGGAAAGUUUUAGGACGUUCGUACAUUGUUAAAUCUCGUUAAAAGUUAUUAUGUCGUUUGCCUUUUAUGGUCUUAAACAUAUUCUUCUUAGUUUAAUUUCGAAGAAGACAAAAAUAUCAAUAAAAAUCAUCGAGUGAGUUCACUCACUUCUGACUGUUUGUUACAAUAUAUAUUUACAUUUACAUAGUUAUUCCUUGUAUAGAUCGCUCGACUGAUCUAUGGCUGGCCUAUACAGAUAUUGGUUUUAUUUACAACAAAAACAAAAGUAGUAUUAACAUAGGGCAUUAUUUUAGUUAUGCCUUUGAUUUCAAUUUGUGUUCAUUUUGCCAACAGAAGAUGAAGUAGUUGAUGAUGACUUUGUCUCGCUCUGAAUAGCGGUCUCUACGAAUUGGGUUGUGACUUGUUCCCACUUAGUAAUUGUUGUCUUAAUCUGUGUUUGUUGUGCUGGUGUGCAUGUCAAAGAUCCUUCUUUCUUGCCUUGGUUCUGACUCACAAUUUGACUGUGGAUGGUAUCUAACUCUUGAAGAGUUUUCAUCACUUGCUCUUGGUAAGUUUCCAUAGACUUUUUAACCUGUGGACAUAGCACAAAUUUUUUAAAAAAAAUAUGUUAAUGGAUAUUGUUGUUGUAUCCAUUUGAAGGAAAAAUUCUUAUAUGCACUACCUCUGCUGAUUUGCUUCCAAUUCUAGACCGCAUAACUCCCAUCGCACCCGAUAGUUUACCAGCAGCAGAUUUAAUCCUAGAAAAUAAACCUUUUCUUUCUUUGGGGGGAGCAAUCAUUGUACCCUUGAGUUGCUCGAAGAAGACCUUGUAUUCCUCCUUUUGUGGACACUUCUUUUCGAGGUUCAUUAUGAAUGUCGAAACAUCUUUGGACGUCUCUUCCUCGACUUGUGUCACUGUUACACCACUGCUCUGACUAGCGGAACUUUCUUCUUUAGUAGCGCUUGUAGAGCUUCCACCAGCACUUUUUGAAGAGGAAGUCUCACUUUCACCUUUAGCGGAAGUCUUACUUUCACCUUUAGCGGAUGUCUCACUUUCACCUUUAGCGGAACUCUCACUUUCUUUACCAGAGCUUUUGCUGUUUUCGCUGGAAGCUUCUUUCCCAACACUAGACUCUUCAUUGGAAGAAGCAGAGUUGGUUGUGCUCGAUACCAUUGUGUUUGUGAUCCGAGUAAUGAUUGUUUCCCAUCUUAAGAUCCCUUCUUUGAUUUCUUUUUGUUGUUCUGCUGUUAGCUUCAUUGAUUCCUCGCUCUCCUCCUUUUUGCGGCUUCCCACAAUUUUAGUCGCAAGAAAUCUCAUAAACUUAAAGGUAUUAAUAACUUCCAUUUUAUCCUCUUGAAUUUCCUUUUUUAUCUGUUAUACAUAUGCAAGUUUAAGUAAAUUAAAUUGGUUCAUUAACAAUAUAUCUUCACGUUGAAGAAACAUUUACCUUUCCAAUCGCAAAAGAAGAUAUGACUUGGAAGAGGCCUCCAGCCUUGGCCUUCAUGUCUCGGUCGUAAUCUACUUGGUCUUUUCUUUUUAUUGGGCAGACAUACUUGGCGAAUGCCCUAAGUUUCUCAAAGAAAGCCUUGAAUUUAUUUGUCUUGGGACAUUCUUUCUCGAGGUCGGACACAAAGACUAUCACUACUUUAACGGUGUAAGGUUCAACAUCCUUCAACGUUUGUGGAGGUUCAAUCUGAGGCAAAGUUGGCUUAAGCUUCAAAUGAGCUGAAACGAUGUCCAGAAGAGUCACUGAUGCAAAAAGAAUGGUAAAGCAUAAAAAUAGCUGAACUCUUGCCAUUGUUAUAUAUCUUGUUAGAAAUAAAAGUUGAAGAAUGAAGGAAUUGAAAUGGGAUUUUUUUGUAUACUUUUAUAGUUAUGUUUAGUGUUCUAUGUUUAGGAUUACUGAUCCCCUGACCAUUGGUAAAUUGGUGGAUUAAAGUCAUAAAUAAUAGUAAAGAGCUUCAUGGUUCUUACGUUUCACAAAUCUAUUGAUGGUGAAGUCUUUUGCGUUUGAUGUUUUUUGUAUUAGUUUUAUAAAAAUUGACUUUUUAUAUAGAAGGUUUAUAGAAUGAAUACAUAUGAAGGCUGGUUCUGGUUGGUUCCCCUAUCUUUGACUUCUACUUGAUUUUAUCACAAACUGUGUGUGGUAUCAUUCGCCGCCAUAUUCAUUCUCUAUAUUCGACUAAUACGGUGAUUUGAUAAGCAAGUCGGAACACACUCUCUUCAAUAAAACAGAUGGGGGAUAGGAAAUAUGAUAAGGGACUCCAAAUGUGGUUCGUAUCAAGAACUUAACCUCUUUUGAUCGUUAAACUGUUAGCCAUUUUUCAUUUUAAACACAUGUCGUAUUAGUUGUAAAAACGAUAUUUUUUCUUUUUAAAUAUAAUUUAACAUUACAUUCAAAAAAAAGAAAAAAAAAAAAGACAACUCUCUCGUUAAGCAAACUUUGUGAUACCCUAAUUAUUAUAGUUUUUGUUAUGAAAAUAAAUAUAAAUUAAAAGUACAAAAAUCUAAAUAUGCUAUUGAAAGAGAUCUCUACAACUCCACAAGAUUACAAGCUAGUUCCUUUUGUUUGGAAUUUUUUUGCGUUUCCCACGAUGAUAAUAUGAUUCACUAGUUGCAUGGUUUAGAAUAUAUGGUAGGUCUCGGGACAUUUAGCAGAAAUCAAUAAAUUAAUUGUGAGACACAAUGUCGAGGAUGUGGAAACGGAAGAAGCAGGAACUAUUAAUAGUGCUUUCUUUGAUGCCUUCACAGUGAUGUGCCUAGACUAAUUAAACCGGUGGCGUAACUAGGGCCCUUGCCCUUAUCACAAUGAAGAACACACGACUCUUUGCUUUCGGCACUAAACCAUUGGCGUUAUUGGACAUAUCUUUGGCUCCGAGUGUUUUCAUGUCGAUGUUAAUUUUUGGAAAAUAAUAUUUGUUUUGGAGACUAGGUAAUGGGUCGAUUCAGUAAAGAGAACAAUAGUUAAGGUUUAUACGGUCUAGAUAAAAACUCACCAAAUCAUAUAUAUGAAAGUUGGUCAACUCUCUCCAUAAGAUUGCUACAUCAUCACUUUAACAUUUGUCAUAUGUUUAUUAAUUAAUUAAUGUAAGCUUUUCAACUUCUAAUUUAUAUGUUAAUGAUACAUUUAUUAUUUAAUUUUAUAUAUUAUUUUAUUUUACAUAUUUAAUGUACUAUUACUAAAUUUAAUUAAACAUUACAUGAUUUUUCAAUAAAACCAUUUUAAUAACUUUUUCAUACUUGAAGAUUUUUUUGUAAUCCAAACUCAAAGUAUGAGUAUAUAAUAAUCGUGGAUUAGUUAAUGAUUUGAGUAGGUUAUUCUCUUAAAUUGAUAUUUAUAUAAUAAAUCACCGAAGGUGCAUAAUACGUACAAAGCUCCAUCAUCAAAUUCUUAGGUUUCUAGAAUCGAACACUAACUUCUAUUAAAUUAGUUUAAGAUGAACGUUAUUUAUGAAUUAUGUGUAUGAUGAAAUAUUGAGAAUGUUUUUAGAAAAAAAUAUUUUAAUACUAAAAAUAAUUUUUUUUGCAUGAGUGAAUGAUUAGAUAAAUAACAAUUAUUUAAAUUAAACGAUACAAAAAAUCCGAAAAAAACACGGCGUAGCGCGGGUGAUCACCUAGUAGUUUUAAACAUGAAACUAGUGAAGCCAGCCUUGGUUCGUGUUGUCCAUAGACCCGGUGAGUCUUUGAUGCCUCGACUUCUCUUUUUUGGUCCUCCUUUGCAUAUUUUUUCAGAGCAUGGCUUAUUCUGUAUGCAUUUUUUGCCUCUGGUUUCUCGUUGAACAUUGAUUUUAUGGAAAUCAUGUCUCUGUUGGCAUCUUCUGCUUGAGGACAAUAGCAGGAUUAUUAGGAGCGUGUAUUUCUUGUGGCUGGUCAAGUUCUCUCGUCGAUCCGGUUGCUGUUUUGCUUCGUUGAGUAGUUGUUGUGUUGUUGGAUAAGUUGAGGAUUUAGCUAUCGGUGGUAGCUAGCUUUCCUCUCCUUUUGAGAGCUCCGCAAGUAUUUCUUUUCUUGGGUUUUGUUCAUGGCUUGUUCUCUGUUAUGGCUUCCUGUUGUUAGUGUUGUUGUUUGAAGAAUGCUUUGAUUUGCGUACUCGCUUAUUCCUUGCGUCUUGGUUUUGCAUUAGAGGAGCUAGUAGGGCUAAUGGCUCUCGUGUGGUGCUGAAUGGACUUUUCUUGCUCUGCGCUGCUGACUUCGAGGAACGAACUUGGUAGAGAGAGCUUGCACCUUUUGUUUUUUUUUGGCGUGUGAGGUUCCUUUCAAGGGAAAGCUCAUGGUUUGCUAACAGUUGACGGCUCAGUAAAGGACCUUUUGCGAAAGGUUUCUAUAGCUGUUGGUCAAUCGCAUCAAGGUGUUUUUGAAUCUGCUUUUGCGCUUCUCCUUUUGCAUCUCACCCGGGAAGGAUAACAAGAAUGUCAUCACUUCAUCUUGCUCCCAAAGCUUCAUUGCUUGCUUGGGUAGAUGGACGGAAAACUUGGUUUAAAUACCAUCUUAUGCUUCCUUGUUUUAUCUUGUGUGUCUUGGAACCAUAUGUAUAGGUUUUCAAUCUUUCGAUUGCAACCUAAACUAUUUUUAUAUCUAUAAAAUAUUUACAAUUUAGCAAAAAAACUAGUGAAGUGUUAUUAUAGAGGGAGACACAAACAAAUUCCAAACAUAUACAGUAUAAGGAAUUUACUUGUAAUCUUUUAGGGGUCCCCUUCUUUUUAAUUAAGUGAUUUCAGUAUUAGCGCUAUAUGUGAAUUUUUUUACUAAAUAUUGGCGGUCAUAGGGUCCCCAAGAGAAUUUUAGCUUCCCGCUUAGUUAAUUUUUGAUUUAGUAUUUUUAAAAUGCUAUAAUAUAGUAACUGAAAUCCGAAUUUUAUUUUUAAUAGUAGUUACGAAAUUGUGCUAUCGUCAUGUGCUAUGAAUGUUCAUAUUUCUGGUUUUAUAUAAUAUUCAAAAAAAAAAUUGCACUUCAAUUUAUUUUUAAUUCCAAAAAUAUAUUACAGUAAGGGGAUUACUACAAAUAUAUAUUUCUUACAAUUUUAUAGAAUAGUAGUGCCAAAAUGAUAAAAUUUAAAUGGAAAACUAAAAGAGUUCAUCAUCAAUGAUCAAGUGAAACGUAAGAUAUUAAGAGCAUCCCCAACGGUGGGCUUUAAUGAGUCCCUUUAAAAAGAAAAAAGAAAUUAAUUAAAAAAGUAAGAGAGAGAAGAGGAAAAAGAGAAAUGAGUCCCUAACGAGAGGGCUUUGCUUUACUGGACUAAGAAACCCACUUUACAUGUGGAAAAAUAUUAUUGAUCAAUUUUUUUAUUUGUAACUAAAAAUAUAAAUAAAUAAUAAAAUUAUACUUAAAUAAUUAAAAUAAUAAAGAUAAGGGAUUGGGAAUGUAUUUUACCGUUGGGUUUGCUCUAAGAACCACGAAACUCUUUGCUAUUAUUUUGACCAAAUUCUCAAUGGUGAAAGGGUCAAUAAUUCUAAACAUAGAACACUUAACAUAACUAUAAAGCAGACACAAAAUUCCAUUAUUAUUCAUUCAUUCUUCAACCUUUAUUCCUAAAAAAAUAUAAUAAAACAAAAAACAAAAAAAUAAAAAAAAUAAUGGCAAGAGUUCAGCUAUUGUUAUGCUUCACCAUUCUUUUUGCAUCAGUGAAUCUUCUGGACGUUGUUUCAGCUCAUUUGAAGCUUAAGCCAACUUUGCCUCAGAUUGAACCUCCACAAACGUUGAAGGAUGUUGAACCUUACACCGUUAAAGUAGUGAUGGUCUUUGUGUCCGACCUCGAGAAAGAAUGUCCCAAGACAAAUAAAUUUAAGACUUUCUUUGAGAAACUCAGGGCAGUCGCCAAAUAUGUUUGCCCAAUACAAAGGAAAGAUCAAGUAGAUUACGACAAGGACAUGAAGGCCAAGGCCGGAGGUCUCGUCAGGGCCAUAUCUUCUUUCGCAAUUGGAAAGGUAAUUUUUUCUUCAACGUGAAGAUUUAUUAUGUCUAAUGAAGUGUUUUAAUUUACUUUUUUUUUAACGUCUAAACAAACAUUAUUAAUACGAAUCUGAGUAUACAAGAUCAGUGAGAUUACAGAUACAACCAAUGGUUUAUGUAACGAAUGAUAGAAGAAGCUAAUUACGUGCCGCUUUCUUAGUCAAAUAUUUUAUCAUCUUCGUUAUAUCGGUCAAUCUUUCUUGUUUGGGAAUCAUCUUUCUUGUUUUAAUUUACUUUAUCUUGCAUAUGUAUAACAGAUAAAAAAGGAGAUUCAAGAGGAUAAAAUGGAAGUUAUUAAUACCUUUAAGUUUAUGAGAUUUCUUGCGACUAAAAUUGUGGGAAGCCGCAAAAAGGAGGAGAGCGAGGAAUCAAUGAAGCUAACAGCAGAACAACAAAAAGAAAUCAAAGAAGGGAUCUUAAGAUGGGAAACAAUCAUUACUCGGAUCACAAACACAAUGGUAUCGAGCACAACCAACUCUGCUUCUUCCAAUGAAGAGUCUAGUGUUGGGAAAGAAGCUUCCAGCGAAAACAGCAAAAGCUCUGGUAAAGAAAGUGAGAGUUCCGCUAAAGGUGAAAGUGAGACAUCCGCUAAAGGUGAAAGUAAGACUUCCGCUAAAGGUGAAAGUGAGACUUCCUCUUCAAAAAGUGCUGGUGGAAGCUCUACAAGCGCUACUAAAGAAGAAAGUUCCGCUAGUCAGAGCAGUGGUGUAACAGUGACACAAGUCGAGGAAGAGACGUCCAAAGAUGUUUCGACAUUCAUAAUGAACCUCGAAAAGAAGUGUCCACAAAAGGAGGAAUACAAGGUCUUCUUCGAGCAACUCAAGGGUACAAUGAUUGCUCCCCCCAAAGAAAGAAAAGGUUUAUUUUCUAGGAUUAAAUCUGCUGCUGGUAAACUAUCGGGUGCGAUGGGAGUUAUAAGAUCAAGAAUUGGAAGCAAAUCAGCUGAGGUAAUAAACAAGAAAUUAUCCUUAUAAAUUCGAUGCAACUCUUAUUAUAAUUCAUUUCCAUAAUUCUUUGUUUGUUUGUUUGUGCUAUGUUCAUAGGUUAAGAAGAAUAUGGAAGCUUACCAAGAACAAGUGAUGAAGACUCUCGAAGAGUUAGAUACCAUCCAUAGUCAAAUUGUGAGUCAGACUAAAGGCAAGCAAGAGGGGUCUUUGACAUGCACACCAGAACAACAAACACAGAUUAAGACGACAAUUACUAAGUGGGAACAAGUCACAACCCAAUUCGUUGAGACUGCUAUUCAGAGCGAGACACAAUCUUCUUCAACUACUUCAUCUUCUGUCGGCAAAAUGAACACAAACUGAACUCAAAAGGCAUAGCUACAUUAAUUCUCAGAAAAUCAUCAAACAAAUACUUUAUGUUAUAAUCACUAGCUAGUAAAUGUUUUUUUUUUUUUGUAAAAUAAAAUCAAGAUUGGUAUAGGGCAACCACAGAUCUAUUGAUCGACCUAUGCUAGGAUAACUCUGUAAAAACAAAUAUAGAUUGUAACAAACAUUCAGAAGUGAGGCGAGCUCACAUUAAUAAAAGUUUUUGAUAAUUUUCGUCUCAACACAAAAGUAAUUAAGCAGUUAUAAUCUUUUACCAUAUUUCAUAAUUAUGAUCGCUACAUUAAAAAAAAAAUCUACUUCAAUUUCAUUUUUCAUUUUUAUCUUUGCAAUGACCUAACACAAAUUCUUCCAUGAGAUCAACCUUUUCAUAAGAAAGGGAGAUUGAAUCAAAGACCACCAUAAUAAAUUAAAAAUACUGUCCAAGAAAAAAAUAGUUUUGUUGACGCCAAUGAUCGAAUAUGUUAUAGGAUUGUGCUUUUUUCUAUUUUUGCGGGUAAUUGUGAGGUUACUUCAUGAAAGAAGAUCAACAAUCUUUGCGGCCAAUUUGGUAAGCUACAAAACUAAGCCUAUGUCUGAGCAGUUCACGUAAGCUUCUCUAGUGGCUCUUCAAUCCAAUUUUCAAACUAAACGUGUGAUUUCCACACUUAAAUCUCACGUAUAUUUAUUCGGUUCUUAUGGUUCCGAGACAGGUUCUGGUCUAGUGUAACUGAGAAAAGCUCCUUAUAAAUUUCUGCAUGUUUCUAUUUUUAACCGUUUGCAUGCAAUUCAUACAAGUUUAGUAAGGGUUUUUUUUUGGGGUCAAAGAUGCCAGUUUUAGUAGUUCUUAAACCGAUUUUGUAAAAGCUAUGGACGAUUCGAAUUUAUCUCCUCGGAAGAUUGUAUAUAAACCAUAAUUUAUACGAAUGAUUGAUUUUUGGUAGUUUAAUUGGUCUUUGUGAGUGUUCUUAGACUUUUCUCUUGAUGGUUGUUUGAUCUUAAAACAUUUCCCAUGUGAAGUCUAACUCUCUUAUAGUAUUAUACAAUAGCAAAAACAUGUUAGAGAUUUUAAGAGAAUUGAAUAGUUUAAUUAUUUUAGUCAACUUAUUUUAGUUUAAACCUUUUAACAUUUCCACCAUCAUACAAAUAAACUAUUUAAUUAACACUUUGUAAGGUGUAACACUUUUUAGCAUGUAUGCAUUAUAUAUUAUUUUGUUUAACUCAGUGAAGUAUUCAUCUGAAUACAAGUUAACUAUGAAUAUAUAGUCCUGUCUUCUUACAUGAAAGAGUCAUAUUUUAAUACCACAUAGCAACAGCAAUAAUAUUGUUACAUGCUAUAAUAUCAGAGCAUCCACAAAGACAAUUGGUCCACUAGUCAGAGAUGUACCUAGCUUAUGUUGAGCGACAAGAAAUCAAAUAUUUUGGUACGUACAGUGAUCAACAUGUGAAUAGUAAGAUAUGCAACCCGAUAUACAGUCAUUUACAUAACUAGAUUGAUGAUCCAUAAAGACCGAAAAAGUAGUGGUCAUAAACGAAUGUUGCACAAAUUUUGUUUAAGAGUCAGUUACAUAAUAAUUUGCAUCUAAAUAUAGAUUAAAGAAAAAUGCGGAUCACAGCAAUAGAAAUUGCCGUCAAAAUAGAGAGUGAAACAAGAGAACCUCUUUUGCUAUUCAAUUGCAACCUUAAACCAAUCCACCAUUUUCUCUUAUUCACAUAAAAAAUAGAGUUUUAACCAUCUAUAUAAACCCCACCUCACCUAGAAAGUAAAAUCAUCCCAAAAGGAGAAAAACAAACAAAAAACAAAACAAAACAAAAACCAAAAAAACAAAAAAAUAAAUGGCAAGAAUUUCACUAGGGAUAUGUCUGAUGUUAGUAGUAGCAUCAAGUGUGAUCUAUGAAGCGCAAGGAACGUUCUUACUAAACCAUUACUUGAAGAAGAAUUUUCCAAAAAAAUGCAACGAGUUUACGCCUUACGCUAACAAGGGUAUGAUAACGUUGGUGACCGAUCUCGAAGGUAGCAGUCCGGCCACUACAGAGUUCAAGACUUUCUUUACACAGUUCAAGUCUUACAUGUCUUUCAUCGAGACAACAUCGGCCUCAACAAAAAAUGUUGAUGCCGAGAUGACAGCUAAAUGUGACGGUCUUUUCAAGGCCAUGUCUGCAUUGAGUGCUAGUAAAGGCGUCAAAUCAGUAAGUCAUUACCAUAUAUACUAUUUCAUGUGAUAGUAAUUUUUUUUUUUUUGUUUGGUUUUAAGUGUUGUUUGUUUUGCGAACAGGCGGAUGCUGGGAGUAUGAAGAUGACCAUGUUGUCGAUGGGAAAGACUUUGGUUGAGCAGAAGAAGAAUACAAAGAUAAUGACAUUGAAGGAAAAGAAAGAGUUGGUCAUAGAUAUGGUGAAAUGGACUAAAAUGGUCGCUACAUUUGUGAAGUCGGCCUCCGAGCAGAAAGGAAAGUCUAUCAAUAUAGCAUCUUAUGGUCUUGAUGUCGAUGUUAACGAUAGUUCUAUUGUCGGUGGAGCUGCAAGUAGUGAAUCAUCCUCCACUAAAUCUGGAUCUGUUUCCAGUAGCGGAAGUGUUUCUACCAAGUCGAAAGAAUCGAGUAGUAGUGGAAGUUCUGCCAGUGGAAGUGUUGCUACCAAAUCCAAAGAAUCCAGCGGUGGAAGUGCUGCUACCAAAUCCAAAGAAUCUAGCGGUGGAAGUGCUGCUACCAAAUCCAAAGAAUCUAGUGGUGGAAGUGCUACUACAGGUAAAACUUCGGGCAGUCCGAGCGGAAGUCCUAAGGCCAGCCCAUCUGGUUCAGUUAGUGGCAAAUCAUCUUCAAAAGGAAGCGCAAGUGCUCAAGGAAGCGCAAGUGCUCAAGGAAGUGCAAGUGCUCAAGGAAGCGCAAGUGCUCAAGGAAGUGCAAGUGCUCAAAGAAGAGAAAGUGGGGCAAUGGCUAUGUCCAAGAGCAGAGAAACAAAGACAUCGAGCCAAAGACAAUCCAAAUCAUCGAGUGAAAGUUCAUCUUCUAGCACAACCACCACAACAGUGAAACAAGUCGAGAGUGAGACUUCCAAAGAAGUAAUGUCAUUCAUAAUGCAACUCGAGAAGAAGUAUGCAGCAAAGGCGGAACUCAAGGUCUUCUUCGAGUCUCUAAAGUCUUCCAUGCAAGCUUCCGCAAGCGUUGGUUCCAAAACCGCGAAAGACUAUGUUUCUGCCUCAAAAGCAGCCACUGGUAAACUCUCCGAAGCCAUGGCUUCAGUGAGUUCCAAAAAUGUCAAAUCAGCAAAGGUUCGUAAAUUCGAACUCAAAUUUCUUAUUCCUUUGAUAAAGGUUAAACAAAAAAUCAAACUAUUUCUUUGUGAUAUGAUAGAUGAAGAGCAACUUGGACACUAGCAAAGAUGAAAUGCUGAAGUGUGUCAAACAAAUUCAAGAUAUCAACGGUAAAAUGGUGAGUGGCAAGACCGUGUCAUCAACACAACAGUCAGAGCUCAAGCAGACAAUCACCAAGUGGGAAAAGGUCACCACCCAAUUUGUUGAGACCGCUGCUUCUUCAAGUUCAUCGUCAUCCUCAUCCUCAUCCUCAUCCUCAUCUUCUGCUGCUUCUCAGCAGCAGGGCAAUGCAGCAAUGGUCAAGACUAAUUGAGUUUAAAGGUGAAGUUACUUUAUUGCGCAAAAGAUCACCAAGAAAGACACAACCAGUAAUGCCAAAUAUUAUAAUAAGUAGUUAACUAUUAGAUAAUUUUUCUUGUAAAUAAAACUAAGAUCGGUAUAGGUAAGCAUUGCAUGCUUAUAAACCGAUGUAUGCAAGUAAUAACUCUGUAAAAAAACGUUACAGAUAGAUUGUAACCGCUUUGUAUGUUAACAUACAAAAGUGAGUGAUACCUAUGAAAGGGAUUUUUGAAUACUCAUCUUCUCCUUUCAAGAAAAUUAGGUCUAAUUUUAAGAUCUACCGAAAUAUAAUCGUAUGCAUUUAAAAGAUAUGGGACUUAAAGAGUGCAACGUAGGACAUUACAAAAAUGGAUUAUGUUGCGUAUUAUUUUUUUACUUCAUAUGAUUAUUUUGUAUUUUUUUGACAUAAAGGUAAAAUUGCAAAAAUGAUCGACUUUAAGUUUUUUUUCCACAAAACUCUUAUCUAUAUGGUCAGUCCAAUUUAAUCAAUCGAAAUUAUGAUGCUUUAGAUCCAUUAGAAAAUCAGCGAAUAAGAUAUUCGACGAUUACACUCACUUUGUGGAAUUAGUGAAAUAGUAAUAUCCCGAAAGAAAUAAAUAACAGAUUGAAGAAUAAACGUAUAAAAAAAUAGAACAGUUUAACUCAUUGAGUUGGUUUAGAUAUAUCAUUGAAACUCUCCAUUAUUCAUUUUAACUAGUUUUCAAUUGUAUGUAAAAGACGGUUUACGUUUGUUUUUAUGAUGCAAUUGUUGAAGUAGAUAAUGGCGUAAUUAAACAAUUUGUUCGUGGAUUAUAUAUGAUGAGGUUUAUAAGGUAAAGGUUUCCCUAUUGAUACAACCUCGUAUUUUAUAUAACUACUUAAGAUAUUGGGACGUGUUGACCGUAGAUGAUCUCCAUUUGAGUGGUCAAGAGAAAAAUAAAAUAAAAUGAAACUGUAUAACAAGAAACAUGUUCUUACGCGUCCGCAACAUGAAUUCUACUUGGUGAGACCCAAAAUCUUUCAGUAUUCUUCUUAUUGAGGAAUAUGCUUUUUUUAGGAAAAAAUAUUUUGAGGUUGAUAUUGACGAGCAUGUCAUAGAUAGACUCAACGUCUGGUAUUGACAUUGGCCUCACAUUUCAGGUAAGUUGUUUUACUAGCAUUUUCGGAUGCAAAACUCAUAGGAUUAUAUGGCUUAUGUAGUGGAUUGGUAUGUAUGGAUAGGUGAACAAAUAAACCAGAGCAAAUCUAUGCAUAAUUUUAAUCACAAUAGACUUGCUGUUUUUUUUUAUUAGUUAAACACAUGAAAACUUUAUUAAAAUUAUUAUUAUUAGAACCAAGAUUAGUUAAAUUGAUCUGUAUCUAAAAAAGAAAUGGGACAAGCCAUUAAGAAAACAUAGAAGACUCACUACAUUUGCCAAAAAAAAAAAAAAAAAAAAAAAAAAAAAAAAGAAAAGACUCACUACAUUGUACAAAUAAAUUUAAUAUCACUCCUAUAUACUUUGAUGAUAUCGCCUGUCCUAAGAUGUCUUGCAUCUUUGAUAUAAGCUCUAUCUCUUACAAUCUAGAGAAUAUGUACUAGAUGACUAUGAAAAUGAAAAGAAUCAACAAACUAACUAUGAGCUACAGUGUUUUGUCAGAAGGUAGAUGAAAUGACCAUUUAACCUUUCUUUUCAAUUUUUAUGUUUCAUCGUCAUCAACACAACAUCUUAAUUCUCACCAUCAUCAACACAACAUCCACCACCACCCUCAACAACACUACCAACAGUCAAGAUUUAAUCGCCCACCACCCUCACUCCAACCAAAUCAAUAUUCCCUCAACCAUCAUCAACAUAACCUCCACCACCAUCCUCGACACCACGGCCACAAGUCAAAUUUAAUCUCACAACACAACCACCACUACCCCCACUCCACUCAAAUCUAAUCCCCCACCAUCAACAUCAACACAACUUACCCCCACUCCACUCAAAUCUAAUCCCCCACCAUCAACAUCAACACAACUUCCACAACCAUCCUCUUAACCAUUGCCACAAGUCAGAUUUAAUCUCCCACCAUCAUUCUCGACACCAUCGCCACCAUGCUUUAAUAACUAAUAAAGAGAUAUUUAUCAAUAUUUCAUGGUAUACAAUAAAAUCGCAUAAAUUCUUGCAAUUAUGUUCUAUAUAUUUCAUGCUAUUCAACAAAAUCACAUGAAAUCUUGUAAUUAUGUUCUAUAUAAUUUCAUGAGAUUCAACAAAAUUGCGUGAAUUUUUAUAAUAAUGUCCAGAUUUCUCAAUAUACCAUGCUAUUCAAUAAAAUUGAGUGAAAUUUUUCACAAUAAUGUUCAUAUUUGGCAAUAUAUCAUGCUAUUCACCAUAAUCACAUUCAUUUUUGCAAUAAUGCCUCCUCAACCGCCGUACAACUUCUCUGCUACCUAUUGUUCUCUAAUUCUGAUAAAACGUAGAAAGGGUUAUUUGGUCAAUGUCCCUCUUUUAAAAGGUGGGUCCAUGGUUAGUUUCUAAUAGAAAAGAAGUCCAACGUUAUUUUCUUAAUUAUUUUACAGUCAAAGGUUAUUCAUUAAUAUUACCCUACAAUCUAAGUAACAUAAACUCAAUUAAUAUCAUAUAAUCUCUUUUACAAUCUAAGAGACAUAAACUCAAUUCUUAUCUAAUACUAUAAUGAUACUAAAAUUUAUACAGUAAAAUACCUAUAAAUUAAUAAUGUUGAAACUGCAAAAUUUUAUUAAUUUAGAGAGGUUUUAAUUUAUCGAUAAAUUAAUAUGUACUAAUUUAUAAAGAGAUUUUCCUAAUUUAGUAACUUUUAAAAAAUUUCUAUAAGAUUUUUUUCAUUAUAGAAAACAAGAAUCAAUUACAAGUAAAAAUAAUAAUAUCAUGCUAAGAAAACAACACCAAAAGUUCUUGAUACAGUAAAAUACUAGAACUAAAUUUCAAAUAAGAAUAAAUAUAAAUUUAAGCAAAAAAAUAUUAGAAAUAUAUUUCAAAGAAAUUUCUUACAUAUAAUAUAUAUAUAUAACAAUUAUAUAUAUAUAUAAUUGAUACAUUUAUACAACAAUUAUUAAUUUAUGAUAUUGAUGUGACCAUAUAUUUACAUAGAACUUUCAAAAUAAUUAUUAUCUUAUUAAUUUAUCGAUUUGUGUCACUUUGUACACGGGUCCCAACUCAGAACCGAAAGAAUUUUAUUAAUUUAUAGAGAUUAUUAAUUUAUCGAGUAUUAAUUUGUAAAGGUUUUACUGUAUUUGUUAUUGAUAUUAAAAUCUAAUGUUAAAUAACACCUCAUUCUAUCUAUACUAUUAAUUGGGAAUCAUUGAAAAUUAACAACCUUAUGAAGGGUAAAAUAUUACAUUGAAUGCCAUUGAUUGUUAGUGUUUUUAAAUAAAUUCAUUAAGGAUACAAUAGUAAUCACAAAAUUAAUAGAUUUAAAUAUAAAAAAUGGUAAUAUUCUUUUAAGCAAUUAUUAGUUUCCCAAAAUUAAACUCACUUUCUCUUUCCUAUUAAUUACGGACGAAAAAUUAAAAUUUAUUUCUUAAAAUUUUUUAAUCAAUAAAAAUUGAAAAACUAAGAUUUGAUAUCAAAUUAUACUACUAUAUUAUUAAACUAACAUUUUAGAAGUUCAUUUUUAUUUUUAAGUUUUUUAAAAUCAUAACACUUGCUUGAUACCAUGAAUAAAAAAAUCAUACUUUGUGAUAGAUAAAUAAAUUCAAUUUUAGAAUUUUGGGUUAAGUACUUUGAAAUAUAAAACGAAAAUUUAUUUCAAAAUUUCUAAAAACGAGAUUAGAUGUUACAAAGAUUUAUAUUUACUAUGAAUUAAACAAAAAUAAUUAAUUUAAAGUAAUUAUCAUUAUGCCGUACAUUUAGAAAUAUCUUAACAAUAAAUUAUACAUACUAAUUUCAAAAUAUUUUGGGUUUUACUUUUUCUUUUUUUCAACCAGAUCUUUUUAAAAAUAAAUCCAUAAUAUAUUAUUGAAAAAUUUUUUGAAAUAAUGUAAACUAAUUAUACAUUUUUCAUUCAAAACAAAUUAUCCAGCAACAAUAAAUUGCUUUUAUAGGUGUAUUUCAAAAUUUUAAUUAUAUUCCAAAAAUCCAAUUAAUUAUGAUUAAACAAGAGAAAGAAGAAUAUUGAAAAUGUAGCUAAGGAUAUAAACAUUAUUACAUUUGUUCAAAUAUAAUUUUUUUCAAAAUUAUUUGUUAUAAUGCUAUUCAUAUUUUUGAAUUUGAAGAAGGAAAAAAAAUCAAGAAAAGAUAUUUGUGUGUUUUAAUUUAUAAUAUAUUUGUAAACUUUAACAUCCUAUAUAUUAAUCCCCAAAACUCAGUCAUAUAUACAUUGGUUUUUAAAGGUAAGCAAAUAAGAAUUUUGGAACGUACUUUUAAUGGAACAAAAUGAAAAUAGGAAUUAUGAGACACAAACGACAUGAAAAGAAACGGAAGUACUAUAUAAAAUAAUUUGAAACCAAACUGAACAUCAAAUUAAAUAUCUAACUGGUAUGAGUUUGAGUUAUGAGUACUAUAUAAAAUAAAUUUGUUUACACACAUAACUCUGUAUGUACGUAUUUUGUGACACAAAUUCUAUUUGUGAUAGUUACGGGUUGGUAGUAUUUUUAUUUCACAUAUACGGACGGGUUAUGGGACGAAGAAUUUGUGAUAGAUACAUCACAGGUUUUCCAUUCCAAGAAAUAUAAGUUUUAAUUUCUAAACUAAUCAAAACAUUAUAACAGUUUGAUUACUGGUGUAAAAUAGGAUAUAAAUUUGGUUUUAGUUUGGGUUCUUUCUCCGUAUGAGUCUGGAUCUUAAAAUAUAACUAUACACGAACACAAUUGAAUUUCGAUUAUUACUCUUAAUUUUAUAAUAUCUAUACUAUUACAAAGUUUACUUAUAACAAAAUAUUAUAUAUUUUUAAAAUUUAUUAAAAAAAUUAUAUUUUGUACGUAUAUGCGAAUUCAGAUAUCUAAUACAUUGUACUAUAAUAUAUAUCACAAAAUAAGAAAAUAAUUUACAUUGAAUUGAAAAUAUAAAAUCCCGCACAUACGUGCGGGUCAGGAUCUAGUUACUAUUGUUUUCAGAAAACAUUACUUAAUUGGGUUAAUCUUAUAUCUCAACAUUUACAAUCAAAUUAUUAAAAUUCUACCUCACACAAGUCAUGGGUUAGAAGAACCUACUAGUUCAUAUUCUCAAAAGAAAAAGUAUCCUUUCCAGAAAAAGAAUGACAAAGAUUAAAACACGGAGAGCAAUUAACGAUUGCAGACCAAAUAGAAAUUGAAAGAAAAAUAUAUUUUAUAGAAACUUUGCUAGUCUCUAGCGACCUUAAAUCAAUCCACAGUUUUCUCUUAUAUUCAUCUAAAUUUAGACCACUUAGAAAUCUUUAUAAACCAAUUCUCCCUCAAACAAAACUUAAAAAAAAAAAAAAAAAAAUAUAUAAACAUAAAAAAUAUUAAACAAAAAGAACAAAAAAAAUGGCAAAACUUUCAUUAGCAUUAGGUCUAUUGCUACUAUUAGCAUUAAGUGAGGUCUACGAAGUGCAAGGGUCGUUCUUAUUGAGGCAUUACAUGAGGAAAUUUCCCAGAAGGUCCAGAGACUUUCGGCCAUUCGCUUGCAGAGGUAUGUUGAAGUUCGUGGACGUUUUGGAGCUUAAGUGUCCAUUAAAGCCACAAUACAAGAGCUUCUUCGGAAACCUAAGGUCUUACAUGAACUUCAUAAACUCGGCAUCCGGGUCGAAAAACUUUGAUGCCGAGCUAAAAGGGAAAGCCCAGGGCCUCUUCUCAGCUAUGUCUGCAAUGAGUGGCAAAGGCGCCGCAUCGGUAAAGUUCAUUUAGAUCUUAAAAUGUAUUUAAGUAAAGAUCAUCGUGGUUUGAUAAUGCUUGAUUUAUUUCAUUUUAUUUGGUAACCAGGCUGAUUCUAGCAAGGUUAUGGAUACAUUGCUGUCAAUGGGAAAGACAUUGGGCACCCAACAGCAGAGCGGUUCAUCGGUAAUGUCGCUUGGACAAAGGAAAGAGAUGAUCAUGUCUAUGGCGAAGUGGGCACAAACGAUUGGUCAAUUUGUUGUGAGUGCUGCAGCAAAGAGCGGAAACAAAAUUGAUAUCUCAUCUUUAGGAAUUGAUGGCAUUGAUGCUAGUGCUGCCGGAGCUGGAGAUUCUACUGCCAGUGGUGGAGUUUCUGCCACCGGAACUGGAAGUUAUGGCGCGGGAGCUGGAGGUUCUAGCGCUUCUGGCUCAGAUACCGCAGCUGGAGGCACUACCGCAACUGGAGGCACUACCGCAGCUGGAGGCUCUACGGCCGCUGGAGGCACUACUGCUAGUGGUGCUGGUACCGCAGGCUAUGGUGCCACAGCUGGAGGCGCUACCGCUAGUGGCGCUGGUACUGCAGCUGGAGGCACUACCGCUAGUGACGCUGGUACCGCAGCUGGAACUACCGCUAGUGGCGCUGGUACCGCAGCUGGAGGCACAACCGCAGCUGGGGCUGGUGCCGCAGCUGGGGCUGGUGCCGCAGCUGGGGCUGGUGCCGCAGCUGGAGGCACUACCGCCGCUGGCGGUGUAAGUGGAAGCUAUGGCAGUAGUGGAGGAAGUGCUUCGAACACCAAUGGUGGAACUAGUAGUUGCGGCACAAGUGCGUGUUCUAAUGGUGGUGGAGCCUCCUUUAAAGGUGCUAUGAACUUUCAAGGAAAGGCAUCCUCUCAGUCUCAACAAGCUGCAUCAUCCCAAACCUCUAAUGGCUCCAGUUAGAUAAGGGCCGACCUAGCAUAUAUAUAAACGUACGUAUUAAUAUUAUUUAAAUAAGAAGAUGGCCCUGCUAACAUAUUAAAGCAGCGAGCUGUAGAAUGUUUUGGCUUUAUGUAUCUAAGCCUUUUUCUAUAAUAUGAGAAUAUUUUGUGUUAACACAAGAUAUUGGUAAUUUAGUUUUGAUCAAACGGGUUCACGUACUUUUUCUUGACUGUUGUCUUGUGAUUUACAUCUCUGCAUAAAAGUGGUCUACGCAGCCCCAGCCCAACAAUAAUUAGAGCUUUAGGGCAAACCAAAUUUUUUGGACACUUACUAUAUCUUUUUCAUAUUUUAAAGUAAAUUUGUACAUACAAAAAUUGUUUAGUUUCUUACUAACCUUUUUUGUAAAAAGGUCCUAAAUGUUAAGAAAAAUGGAGUUAUAGUCUAAAUGUUUUUUUUAUAACAAAAUAGGCUUUAAAACAUAAGAAAAGUCUUAAAAAGUAUGAUGAAUCUGUAGUCCUGGAAUCUUUUGGCUGCUGCCUUUUUGUCGUACCCAUUUGGGCUGGACCGGGUUCUAUGUUCUUAUGGUAUUUCCCUCUUCAUCAACGCUACUAAAGAACUUUACUCUAAUUGAACAAAAUGAUUUAGUAGUCAAACCCAAUCUUAUGUCCAUUUUUGGGUGCAUUAGCAAGAUAAGAUUAAUAUACCACGCGUUGUUAGCUCAAUUGGUAAAGACCCUAGGCGAAGUUUAGAGGUCGCCGGUUCGAAUGACGCUUGGAACGAAACUAAUAUUACAUGCUGUGGUUUCGGGCCUAGGAGGAUUACGGGCUUCGGCCCAGAACCUCCUGGUAUUCAAAAAAAAAAAAAAAGACUAAUAUAUACGGAUGUAUAUGACAUUGAGAACAUAAAUCUUUGGAAGUUGCCUCUUGUGGUAACUCUCUUCCAAAAAAUUUGUAUAAGAUCAAUCAAAUAACUAUUUUCAUUUUAGUGAAAAAUCUAAAUCUUAUUCUUAUUUUUAUUCAUUGCACAAUAAAGCUUAAUGAACUAUUUUGUUUCGAGAUUAAUCACACUAAAUCAAUGUUUCUUGGAAAAUAUGAUAUAUUUUUGGUGAAUCAUAUAAAAAGCCCAACAAAGCUCAAAUAUGCUUUAAAGAGUAGGGGGUUUACAAUGAUUUUUCUAGCCCAAUAAUAAAAGCAAUCAAAUUACAAAACUAACAUCCAAAAGUUAGAUUAAAAAGGAGCUAAAAACUAAACCCAGCCUUUAACAAAGAAAAAAAGAAAAAAAAAAGAGCUAAAUAUAUACUCUGAAAACAUGAAUACAUGAUACGUUGAUUAAGUUUGACACAUGUGUUAUCUACGAGCUGCCAAUCGAUUCUCAUCUUGAAAUCAUUAUGAGUUUAAUAAUUUCUGAUAUAACGAUCACGAAAAUAAUAUAUAUACAUUUUGCUUCUCAGCAAAACUUUAUCGUCUUCAUCAAUUGUUAUUAUCAAAUCCUUAGAUAAUACAUAGGUAAAUUAAAUUUUAAAAAUAUUUGCAUUCCAUCUCUAAGAGGAUCUCGUAUCGAGCCAUGGGUCACAUGCAUAAUCAGGUGAUUGAUAUAAGCUAUUUCUAUGAAGACUGUUGAAUUUUAAGUCCCAAACUGCCCGGAUUGGGUUUGGAUCCAACAAAUAGCUGAGUUAUGGUGGCCGAGUUAGUUAUAUUUACUAAUUAUUAUCGCGAGGUAAUAUAAUUUACUUUUAUAAGAGAAUACAUUUAAACUAAUUUAAUAUAUAUCUAAAAAUAAUUUUAUAGUGCUGAAUUCAUUUUGUCAUCGUCUCAUUGAGUAUUUUAUGUUUUUAUUAUCUUAUUAUAUAAAGUAUGGUUUUCAAAGUUACUAACUCAUACGAUUGUGCCACAUGUCAAGUCAAAUGAUCAGAUGUUUACAUGUGUCAUUCAAAAUUUAAUUUUUUAUUCUCUUAAAAAAUAGAAAAUCUUAAAAAGUAAACAAAUUUAUAUAUACUAAUUCAUUUACUAACUCAUACGAUCAUGCCACGUGUCAAGUCAAACGAUCAGAUGUGUACAUGUCAUUCAAAAUUUAACUUUUUAUUCUCUUAAAAAAAUAGAAAAUUUUAAAAAGUAAACAAAUUUACAUAUACUAAUUUAUAUGUCUAUAUAUUUAUAAACAAUUAACAUUUAUUCAACAAAAAGAAAAUUAUCAAAUUUGUUUUUAUAUGUGUUAUUGGUCAUUUAAAUGUACCACAUAUUAUUUUCUUAAAAACUGAUUUAGUAUGGAUAACAAUACUAAUUAAAAAGACCAUUGAAGUUUAAAAUAGUAAUAUAAUUUUCUAAACAUUAUUUUAGUUGGAUAAAAUUAUAUUUGUCAAUGUAAUACAAUGUUUUUAUUCGUCAAAUCAAAACACAAAAUAUUAAUGAACUUAUAAGAAUAAAAUUUUGAAUACUUAUGUUUUAUUCUAAGAAUUUUAACUCAUCGUAUGAUGGAGCGUCUUGCAUCUUUUGAUGUGAUACUAUAUCUAUGUUUUAUUUUAAGAAUUUUCACUCAUGUAAUCAUAAGUGAAAAUAGAACAUUUUGAGAAAAAAUAGCUUAGCUUAUAGGAUUUAACUUUUCAAUUAUUUUUAAUGAGAAUAUUUUCAUUUAUUAAUUUUACCUCAUUUGAUAUUAAUUUGCAUGAUGUAAGAUUAACUUACGAGAUUACCGCAUAUAUAAAAAAUAUAUUUUCAACAAUGUUUGGUUUUAAAUAUUUUUGUGGAUUUCUUUUUUUUUAGUUAAUUAUUAGCGUUUUGGUAUUCGAGUCAGGUUCGGAUCGGCUAUUUUGGGUUUGGGUUUAGAAGUUUAGGACCCGUUUGGGUAAUUUAAGAUUUCAGGUCGGGUUAGGGUUCGAGUUUAUUUAUAUAUUAAAAUAUCAAAUUUUGUGUGCAAAUCUAUUAAAUUACUUGAAAUUUUUAAAAUAUUUCCAAAACAACACGAGUAGUUUUGCUUGAAUAUAUCUAAAAAUAAAUAAAAAUAAUUAAAAUAUCCGAAAAAAUCCUAAUAUUUUCUGUAUACAAGUAUAAAUAUAACUAAUAUAUACUUAUAUUUGAGAUAUGUUUGGAUACCUAUUCAGGUUCGGGUUUUUUAGGUUUUGAAGUUUAGAACCGCUCGGGUCUUUGAAAAUUUUGGGUUCGGGUUCGGGUCGGUUCUUAGGGUUGGAGUAUUAUGCCUAGGCCUAUUAAUUAUGUUUUGUUAAUUUUUAAUUAUUUUUAAUACUAACUAGGAUAUAGAUUUGAUAUGUCAUAAAUAUUAUUUUGAUAUGAAAAUGUUAUAACUCAAUAUGAAGUGUGUAGAAUUUAAAUCGAGUUUAUUAUGAUGACAUAGAUAGUUAAACUGUAUUACAAAAUUGAAUUUGUAAUAUAUAAAUUUAUUUUUUCUUUUUCUUUUCUAGAUAUUAAAUUAAAUAUAGAAUGAUGAUCGCUUACUUUUUAGAAUUCAAAUAUCAUUCAUAAGAUUGAGUUUGUAUAAUUAAAAUAGAAUGGAUAAGACUGAAAUUUUGUUUAAAUCAAUAAUUAUUAAAUUAAAUAUUAAGAAAAAUAUAUUGAUUAUUAUACCAAAUUCUAUCGAUAAAACUUGAUUUUUGUAUCUUAGACCUGCCUAAAUAGGCGGGCCUUAUCUAGUUUAAUAUAAUAUAAGAGUCGUGAUAUUACUAAUUUAUGAAAUUUUAUUUGAGAUUAGUACGUUCCCGAAUUUUAUUUGAAUUUGAUAAAUACGUUCCAGUUUUUUAUGAUUGAUGAGAAAUGACGACGGCAACGAAAUUGGAAAGAAUCUGAAUAAACUAUAACAGCUAAAUCUAUAUAAUAAUUUAAUAAACUUCACUUCAACUUGUCAAACUCUACUUAUAUAUCUAAAUACAAAAGUCAAAUUAUUUGAUUUAAAAAGAGUGAGGCUGCGAGCUAACAACCAUUAGAGAAUAUCAUAAAAUUCAGUAUAUUAAAAUGGCUAAGGGGAUUAAGAUAAGUUUCAUAUAUAAAACAAGGUUUAGUGGAGGCCAUCUAAUUCUUGUCUCGAAACAGCAACACAAAAUAAGACACAUGACCAGCAUUACCAUGAAGCCACUUAGUAACCCACUUCUCUCUCUCUUUUAUUUCCUCCAGAUUAGCCAUUUUUGGGACACAUUUGCAUACUACUUAAAUAUAAUCACUUUCUUACACUUUACUUUUUUUUUGUAGAAAGUAAGGAAACGAUUUAAUUUUUAUUAACAUACUUUAUAAUUUGUGUCAUUGGUCAACACAUUAAAAAUAGGGAUAAUACUACAAUUUUAUUAAACAUCUGCAUCAAAAAACUAAAACGAUACUAAUUUUAAAAUUUAAAACGCUAAAUCAAUUGAAACAAAAGUACUAUUUAUACUAGCCGUGAAAGUUAUUUUCCCAAUUAAUUGAUCAAAUAGUAAUGUCUUUACUUUUGACAAAAAAAUAAAAAAUAGUAAUGUCUUUACAUGAAUAGACUUCAUGUUACAAUCUUUUUUUUCUUGGAACAACUAGUUCAUGUAACAAUCUAUAUUAUUGUUUUUGUCAUGUCACAAUCAAGAUUCAAAUUCAUAACUAUUGAUAUUUUAUUUCAAAACAAAAACCGAUUUCUUACAUAAAACUUUCUUUUUUUAUAACAGCGAAGUUCGGACCUAGAUUCUUGUAAACAUAGAUUCGAAGUCAACAUUUACUCCCAAGAGAAAUUGAGGUAGAGGCACAAUAGAAUAACCUUCUACCACAAUGGAAACCAAUAUCAUUUGCUAAUCACUACAUUAUCGUACUCUAAGAAUUUCUUUAUAAAAAUUAGAGGUUUGAAUUUAUAAUAUGAUUAAUUUUGCCCCAAAAAAAGAAAUUUAUAACACGAUUUUCCUUGUAAAAUAUGAUUAUGUAGUGCUAUAAUACCACUUUUUCUUUUUUUUUGAAAGAAAAGAAGAUUUUGCAUUUUGAUAUUAGAGUUAAAUUUUGAUCUUAUGAUCUGUGGGUUACGGAGCCUAUGCUUUAGCUGCGCCACUCUGAUAUAUUUCUAUCAUAGCACUUCAAUGCGAUAUAUCUUUGAAGGUGAAUGCAUACAUGAUUAAAAAAGGACGUGAAACAAUAUUUGUACAGUUUUUUUUUUCACUGAACUACUUACUUAUAUUCAUAUUUCAUAUAUAUAUAACUUAUAAUCAAAAAAGCAUUUAUACAACUUUUUCGCAUUAGGAGUAUGUUCACAUCACGUUAAUUAGUCAAACUAUACAUUUUUAAUAACAGAUGCUAAAAUUGAGGGGGAGAAACUUAUUUAUUUAUAAUUUGUUGUCGUUUUCGUAUACCAGCAUAAAUAUUGUUGGAGAUUAUAGCACAUAUAAAUAUAAGCAUUAAUCCUGAAAUUGAGGCUAAGAUUUGUAUUUACAUAUAUGGUUGAUAGCAAUUUGAUUAAAAUUUUAUCUGACCCAUCACCAAAUUAGUGGACAUUGAUUUUGCUUUUAAAAGUACUAAGCUUUACUAUUUUUCUUUGCUACUUAGUUCGUGGCUUUGUGCUGUAUAGUUUGUAUGUUCACUGAAUCCAAAUCAUGCGCAAAUUAUUACCAUAUAAUUGUACUAAUCACUAGGAUUGAGAUUAGUUGUGUUAUUUUGCAUCAAGGUUAUGUGAAAAUCCGGAAAUUUACUAAGACAGCGAAUUACUAACAAACUCCAAAAUAAAAUAUGGGAGUGUAUAAAAAGAAGUAAAAAAACAGAUAGGAGUGUAAACUACUUAUAUUAAAAAUAGUUAAAAACUAAACUGCAACCUUAAAAGUAUAAGUAUUUGAUUAAAAUUUUAUCUGACCCAUCACCAAAAAUUGAUAUAAACUUAUAUUAUAAUUAAGUUAAUUAUUAGUUGUCAAACCAAAAAACAAAACAUCAAAAACAAAAAAAAAGCAAGAUAAAAAAAAACGAUUACAAACAAAAAUCCAGGUAAAUACCAUUCCUACAAAAUUAACCCAGUAUUAAUGAUUUCGUUGUAAUCACAACCUAAAUAAUUGUGUUGAUAUAAAAUAUUCAGCCGAUUGUUUUUGCAAAACAAUUUUGCAAAUAUUAUUAUUUUAUUUAUUUAUUUAUAUAUAUAUAUAUAUCUUGGUAUAUUACUAGUAUCAAUGAAAUCAAAGAAAGUGGUAAACAUGACUUGUUCUUGAAAAAUGAAAAAUAAAAAUAAAUGAUUUAGUCUAUAACAUUAUCUUUCAAACCCACCUAUAAUUGCUUAACUAUUUUCGAAUCAAACGGUUUUCGUAGCUUAAUGAGUAUUAUCUCAAAUUAAAUUCUAAUAAUUGCUUCGACAAUGUAUCCAACUAAGGCACUCUACUUAACUUACACCACCCUACUUAAACUACAUUUAUUUCUAUUACUUAAACUACUUUAGUUGAGUCAAUAAUACGAUCUCUGAUAAUACUCACAAAUGUUACGUAUUUCGAAUUCAAAAUUAAUCGACAAUGUAGCAAUCAAUUAGUGUCUCUUACAUAUGACUUCAUUCUAUCUAUUUUAUAUGUGAGGUUUUUUGACGUCUUUUUGAAAUAAUAGUUCUUAUCAGUUCAUCUUGGAAAAAAAACAUAUAGAACAAUAUCGGAUCAACUAAUUAAACGUUUAUUUCUGUUACAUUUUGUAGGAUUUCAUUGAAUAAAUAGUCAUAAAUUAAUAGUUGUAAAAUUUUGAAUUCCUAAUUAUAACAUUUGCUUAAUUUUUAUAUAGAUUCAUUACUACGGUGCCUUUACAUAACAGUAUAGCACAUGCACCUAGCCUCUGUUACCAUAUAGGAAAUUAAUUAUAUUUCACACGGAACACUUUUUGACAGUAUGCACCUACCCUCUAUUUUGUUUUUAUAAAUCAAACCUCAUUUGUUUAUAAUAAAUAUGCUUUCUAUUUUUAUAAUCAGUCAAACCAUAUAUAUCUUAUAGAUAUAGUGUUUUUUCCGUCAUGUUUGAAUUGUGCAUCGAGUUGCAAGUUUAGGGUUUUAUUUAAUGUUUGUUUAUUUAUAGUGGAAAGACUGUUAAUUAUUACUUUGUAGUUUGUUCAAAAAAUCUAUUUCGAAUUUAUAUACUAGACCAUAAAUGUAUUUAAUCAAUAUUAUUAUUAGGCAUUUUUUAGGCAUGUUAAAUGCUAGAUGUGUAAUGUCCUGUUUGAAAAUGAACAUUGUGUAAAUAGUUUAAUCGCCUCUUUUUUCUUUUAUCAGCUGUAUGCCUGUAUCUAACAAUAUAUAUAAUUCAUACUUUCAUCAUCACUAGUUUUAAAAUAAAAUAAAAAAACAAUUUGAUUUAACUAUAAGAAAUGAAAACCGUAGAUGAUCUUAAAUACAAUUACAUAAAUAAAAAAACGAGUAAUUUCAAGUUCGAAAAUUAGCUCUUUAGAUUUUAGUAUGGGGCAGCUGGACCAAUUUUCGGUCUUAUGUAAAAUUCAUAUGACUUAUAGGUUCAGGGAGAUUAAUCUACUAAAUACUAGUAUAGUGUAAUUUAUAUGCAUGAUAAGUAAAAACAAUGAUGAAAGUAAUACCGUUGGGAGGUUGCAUGUCGUGUUCCAGUAGUCCACACAUUAGCUUCUCGUAAGAUCGUAUGGAGUGUUAGCUAUUCUCGUAUAUGUUGGUUUGAGAGAAUGUAUACGUAAAGGACCUUGUUCCCUUUGCAAUCGUAAAAGCUUUGGGGGAACCUUGCAGUAAAAAUCUCUCAUGGCUAAUUUGAUUCCACAUCCCUAUGUCAGCAAGUUGCUUUCCUUCAUGCCGAUUAAAUCACCUUCCAUGAGAAUAUACCUUAUUUUAUUCCUUACCUGACUUCUAGAAAGAUUUGGGAAGUUUUGUUGAGGAUCAUUCUAAACUUGAUGUAUGCUCUCUAUCUUAUAUCCUUGAAACUAUUGUUCGUUAGAGAGUUACAAAAGACUAUGCAUCUUCACGCAAAUAUUAAAACGGAUAAUUUGGUUCGGAAAAUCAAAUCCAAGCCGAAUCACAUCACUUAUGUAAACAACAUUCUACAAUAAUGGCUCUUUUAAGCUCUAAUUAAAAGUGGAUGACAAAAAAAAAGACUAUGCACCGAGACGAUAAGUUUUUUUUCUACUUCAAAACCCAAAUCUUAUAUCCAAAAUCUAGUCUAAUUAUAAUUAUCAGUAUCUAUCUAUAUAUAAAAUUUACUAAAUUUGGUAAAACAAUUCUAUGGAAAUUAUUUUAUAUAUUAGUUAUUAUAUAUUAUUUCUUACCUCUUAUAAUUCCUUCGAUAAAUUCCUAUUCAAAUUAUUUUUAAUCCAUUUAAUAAAACUAAAUUUCAAAAUCAAAAAAUGUAUUACUACAUUUCCAAAAUUUAUUACUACAUUUCCAAAAUUUAUUCUAUAUACAUAAAAUAAGCAAUUUAUUUAUGUCAAUAAAAGAAAAAAAUAAAAUGACAUUAAAAGCAAAGAACAUGACAAAAACCAGUAGAUAUCAUUCCUAAUUUAAGCAAUCCCAAAAAGUUUUAUCUGAGCGUGGAUCACGCGCCUUCACAUUACCCUCAAAUAUGACUUUGUAGAAUGAGUAGUCAAAUUCAGAGAAUUUACCAAAUUGUGUCAUUCAACAAAACAAAACAAAGACUUUAUACAUAAACAAAUCUCUCUCUUAAGAAAAAUUUUCUACAAACCUCAAAACAUUCUUCCUUCUUCUCCUCCUUAUUCUCUCUACGACUUUUAAAGACAGAACCCAGACGAUGGUUAUGAUCAUGAAGAUGUCUUUGUGGUCUCUUUCUUAAAUGAUUUGGUUUGGUCCAAAUCUCUUUCUCGUUUUCCAUUUAUUCUUUCCUUAUAGAGUCCAAUCACAAUCCUCUGUUUUUGGUCCCCUGUUUUGGUCUCUGUUUUUCAGAUUGGUCUAAAAAUCCAGAGAAUAGAAAAAAGAUUUGAUUUUUAUCACAAAUCUCGAUAAUAAUUCACAAAAUCCAGUUUUGUUUUCCCAAAAUCAAAUCAAAAAGUCAUUUUUUUUGUUCCCGUUUUACCCUUUUUGAUCAUGGGUUGUGCGAGUUCGAAGCAUCGUAAGCGUUGUCUCCAUUGCCGGAGAGGAUAUUCUCCUCCGGUGGAUGUACAGAGAAGUCACUCAGUGCAUCACGCAUCGCAAAACUCUGAAGAUAGUUGUCACAUGGUGGCUCUAAGUUCCUCAAGCCUUGGAUCUCUCAAGCUAUGUGAUUCUUCUUUUGGGCAUAAUCACAAACACUUGGCGGACUUUAGCGAGAAGCUUGUUUCUGGCGAAUCUGUGAAAACUGGAAAUGGGUUUGGUCCGAAUGUUGUCAGAGAGAAGUCAGAUAAAGAGAAAUCGAAUUUGGAAUUGCAAGCUAAGCUUAUGGAAGCAAAGGUAUGGUCAAGUAUGAUGAAUGAGAAGAUACCGAAGAUUGUACCGAAAACUCCCAUUGUUACGCCUCCUGGUGAGCCAGAAACGAUUAAUACUUGGGAAAUGAUGGAUGGUCUUGAAGAUGUUUUGAGUCCUUUACGAUCACCUAAUCAUGUUAAGAGUUUCUCGUUUGAUGUUGGUCCUAAUGGAGGUAAGUCUAAUGGUAGUGUUAAGCCGGUAUGGCUUCAAAUGGAGGAGGAAGAAGAAGGGUUUGAAGAUUUUGAUCCUGAGAUCAUUUCUUCGUUUAGGAAAUCGCUUCAAGAACUUCCUUCUGAUCAUCCGUUUCACAUUUCGAACCACGAUUUCGAAUUGAAACCGCGGUUCAAUUUCUCUGAUGAGGAAAAGGAGGAGGAGGAACAAAGUGUUGGUAAAGAGAGAGUGAUACUUUACUUUACAAGUCUUAGAGGUAUAAGGAAGACUUAUGAAGAAAGCUGUGAUGUUCGGGUUAUACUAAAAAGCCUCGGGAUUAGAGUGGAUGAGCGAGAUGUGUCGAUGCAUUCGGGUUUCAAAGACGAGUUGAAGGAGCUACUAGGGGAAAAGUUUAACAAAGGUGUUGGGAUUACUUUACCUAGAGUUUUCUUGGGAAGGAAGUAUAUUGGGGGAGCAGAGGAGAUUCGGAAGUUAAACGAAGAUGGGAAGCUUGAGAAGCUUCUUGGAGGGUGUGAGAGGGUGGAAGAAAACCAAAAUGGUAAUGGUCUAGAAUGUGAAGCUUGUGGAGAUGUAAGGUUUGUGCCGUGUGAGACAUGUUCAGGGAGCUGCAAAGUGUACUAUGAAUAUGAAGAUGAUGAUGAUGAUGAUGAUGAAGGUGAUGAUGAUGAAAGUGUUAAGGAAGAAAGAGAGUAUGGGUUUCAAACAUGUCCUGAUUGUAAUGAGAAUGGUCUCAUUAGAUGUCCUGUUUGUUGUGAUUAGUUGUUUGAACAUACACACAAGAAAAGGGAACCUUAAAAUUGUUCUUUUUUUUUGUUUUGUUUACUAAAUUUGAGUUAUGAGUGCUUGAGGGUUUUAUUGCCUCUUAAGUUUUUGUUGUACAUAAAGAGGUCUUUGAUUGUGAAAGUGUAAAAUUGAAACUAGGAAGUGGUGUUGUCUUUUGUUUGAAAGUCUUCUAUUCUUGCUUUAUAUUUGGGUUGACUCAUACAUAUAUUUAAAAGCAGUGUGUAUUGACCGUGUGUAUUGACCGGAGAAAAGGAGAAAUUGUCAAAACUCUUUAAGGGGAUUGUAUUGGAUUCAAGAUUUUAGAUAAUCAUGGGCAUUUGGUUAUCUAUUCAGUUUCGGUUAUAUUCAUUUGGUUAUCGGUUUUUUCGGUUUUUAAAUUUAAUAUCUAUUCGGUUAUUAUGAAAGUUUGGUUCGGUUUCGGUUCUUUCGAUUUUAAGAUUUAAUAUCCAUUUGGUUACUUUACUUUAAAUAUUUUCGGAUAUUACGGUUAUAUUUUUUGAUUUGGUUCAGUUUGGUUAUUUUUGUUUCGGUUUUGGUUCGGUACAUUCGGUUCGGUUUAUUUGUUCAGUCCUAAUUUUAGAGGACUUGGUGGAAUUUAGAAAGGCUUUCAUUGCCACACGGCCCACACCAAUGUAAUCUCAUUCCGUCCAACUAAAUAAGAAACAACAAUGUUCCCAUUUAGCAAGAUGAAAAGUCGAUUAAGAUUACUGAAUCCUCAAUGAAACUUGACGUCUUCUUCUUAGUUCGUAGCGACAAUACGAAAACACAAUCCCACUACUUUGGACAAAUCCAUCUCAACUCAACUUAUAACCCUAAAAAUGUGUAGCUAAGAACACAAAUCCAUCUCAACUCCAGGGCGGAUGCAAUGCAUAAGUAUAGAGGUCAAUUGACCCUAGUGUAAUUAAAAACAAUUGCGGAAGGUUUAUUAACAAUAUUAAAUUGACCCUAAUCCAAUAAAAUAUUGACGCUUGUAAAAUUUUAUCUUAAGAAAUUAUGCUAUACUUUAUAUAAUAUUAAAUCCAAAAAGACUUAUUUUAACUAAGCCUAUUAAUAUAAACUAUUCUAAUAUUAACAUUUAUACGGAGUUAGUCUCAAAAUGAUUUAACUUUUUCUUCCUUAUAUUUAUUUUCUUUUCAAUCUUAGAUAAUGAGUUUCUAAUGACGUUUUAUCUUCUUCUUUCUUAUAUUUGUGAUAAUAUUUUUAUUAUUUUAAACUCUUAAUUAAAAUUUUUUUUGACCCCGAUGAAUAGAUUUUAUUGUUCCGGCAACUUAUAACCCUAAAAAUGUGUAGCUAAGAACACAAACCAGCUAUCCUUAAACUCCUUGAUUAAAAGCUAAGAACACAACCCAACUUAUAACCUUAAAUAUGUGUAGCGAAGAAGACAACCCAGCUAUACUAAAAACCAUCGAAAACUACUUGUUCUAAUUUUGUAUUCUUAUGAUUUAAUAUUUAUUAAUAUUAUACUACGUUCCAUAAAACUAAUUUAUAAAAAGUAUAUAGUUAGAGAACGAAUUAUUUGCUCAUCUUAGGGAUAUUGUUAUCAACGGCAAAUAUGAUUUUCCCAGUUUUACAAAAUAAACAUUUUUGCCUAACAAAACUCAAAAGUUCACUUGAAAUAAUACAAUAUUAUGAUUUAUUAUAAAAUAUAAAAUAAUACAAUAUUAUGAUUUAUUAGAAAAUCAACAUUAUUAAUAAAAUAAUAUUUAGAUAUUUAAAACAAAUUAAAACAUAGAUAAGAUUAAAUAAUAUAGAAAACUUCAUUACUCUUAUCCCACAAAAGUGAAAUUUCAUCGUCCCUUUUGUAACCUUUUGCUCUCACGAUAUCCAUCCAUUUUCCCAUGAAAUAAUAAUGACCAUUUUGGUAUUUUACUAGCGUUACAUGGUAUUCAUUCCCAUUCACAUCUUUAACUAUCACUUCGACACUGUUUCUCAAAUUCAUGACUAAUUCCCAUUCCAUUUCCGGAAGUAUAAAUUGUUCAAACUCUCUUUUUGGUAGAUGAAGCCUAUUAUUAUAAUCGACAUCAGAUUGGGUUAGUCUUUUGUUUAUGAUCAUAGAGUGAUUUGUUUGUAAACUCAACUCCAAAUCGAUAUUGUCUGCCAUUUUAUAAGUAAGUAAUUCUAUAUAUAUUUUUAAUUUGUU
RNAcentral lists this long non-coding RNA (46829 nucleotides) under Arabidopsis thaliana (thale cress). RNAcentral's name for it is "long non-coding RNA (ATHA_LNC000139)". Lineage: Eukaryota; Viridiplantae; Streptophyta; Magnoliopsida; Brassicales; Brassicaceae. The record is from RNAcentral.